This 77405-nucleotide long non-coding RNA is filed under the name Setaria italica (foxtail millet). RNAcentral describes it as "long non-coding RNA (SITA_LNC003510)". Lineage: Eukaryota; Viridiplantae; Streptophyta; Magnoliopsida; Poales; Poaceae. The record is from RNAcentral.
GCACCAUACCAGCUAGUGUUGGGAACUGUAUAUCGUUGGUACGGCUGCUGCUCGAUAACAACUUAUUAGAAGGAAGCAUACCUCAAUCUCUGAAGAACUUAAAAGGUCUUGCAUUACUGAACCUAACAAUGAACAAGCUAUCUGGUAGUAUUCCUGAUGCCCUUGCUAGCAUUGGCAACCUGCAACAACUGUAUCUAGCACACAACAACUUGUCAGGUUCCAUCCCCAAAGUUCUACAGAAUUUGACAUUGUUGGCAAAACUGGAUUUGUCAUUCAAUGAUCUGCAAGGCGAAGUGCCAAAAGGGGGUCCUUUUGCAAAUGCAACUCACUUGUCAAUUGAUGGAAAUGAUGAGCUUUGUGGUGGAAACCCUCAACUUCACUUAGCUCCGUGCUUCACAGCUGCUGCGGGGAAGAACAGAAGGCGAAUGUCAAGGUCAGUUAUGGUCACCGUAGCGUCAAUCUGCGCACUUCUAUUCUUAGGUUUAGUAGUUUUUCUUAUCCAUUUGAUCCACAAGACGCUCAGACAAGGAAAGGAAAAUCAACUCAUUCCCACAGUAAUUGAUGAACAGCACGAAAGGGUUUCAUAUCAAGCAUUAGCAAAUGGGACUGACCAUUUUUCGGAGGUUAAUCUGCUCGGACAAGGAAGCUAUGGUGCAGUUUAUAAGUGCACUUUACAUGACAAGGGAAUUACCGCAGCUGUAAAGGUAUUCAACGUAUGGCAAUCUGGUUCUACUAGAAGUUUUGUGGCUGAAUGUGAGGCACUGCGAAGGGUGCGCCACCGAUGUCUCAUAAAGAUCAUCACCUGUUGCUUAAGCAUUGAUCACCAAGGCCAAGAAUUCAAGGCACUGGUUUUUGAGUUCAUGCCCAAUGGUAACCUAAAUGGUUGGCUGCAUCCAGCAUCCAAAAUACAGAGUCUGAGCAAUACGCUCAGCUUAGCUCAGAGACUGGACAUUGCGGUAGAUAUCAUGGAUGCUCUGGAUUAUCUUCACAAUCAGUGUCAACCGCCUAUUAUCCAUUGUGAUCUCAAACCAAGUAACAUCCUCCUUGCCGAAGAUAUGAGUGCUCGGGUUGGAGAUUUCGGCAUAUCAAAAAUCCUUCCUGACGACACUAGCAAAACUCUGCUGAAUUCAGUUAGCUUCACUGGACUAAGAGGUUCCAUCGGAUAUGUCGCUCCAGGUAACAGAAACUAACACUGAUAUUGCUAUGUUCAGUUUUUUAACUUCCAUUUUGCCAAGUCCAGUUAUCUCGGCAUGCACGUUCAUAAGUAGCUUGCCAUGAAUCCACUGACCAAAUAGUGUCUGAAAUCUGAAUUGACUGCAGAGUACGGCGAGGGUCGCGCUGUCUCAACUCUUGGAGAUGUUUACAGCCUCGGCAUACUGUUGCUUGAGAUGUUCACCGGGGUGAGCCCUACUGACGACAUGUUCAAAGACUCCUUGGACCUUCAUAAGUUCGCCGAGGCCGCUCUCCCGGACAGAGCCUUGGAGGUAGCCGACCCGGCAAUCUGGCUUCAUGAAGAAGCAAAGGGGAAAGACCCUGCCACGGUGAGAAGCAGAAGCGAGGUGUGCUUGGCUUCAGUGAUCGGGCUUGGCGUGUCCUGCUCAAAGCAGCUGCCAAGGGAGCGGACGGCGAUGCGGGAUGCUGCCGCUGAGAUGCGUCCGAUCAGAGAUGCCUUCCUGGUUCAAUGUGCAACAGAGACUUGGGCUGCAGUCGGCACCACCGGCCUUGGAAGCGCAGACAGUUGAAUGGUGGACGGAGCUACGGUCUCUUGACGCACCAAGGAGCACCGGACUAGCAACUCUGCAACUAACAGAGUGGAGAAAGCGCCCCUUAAUGAAAAGAAAAACAGCCGGUGCAAGGCUUUAUACAAAGAAUGUGACAGCCACUGCGUGUAUCCGAGGCUUUAUACAACUCUGCCUUAUCUAAUCUACCGAGGAUUGUUGCGUAUGGAUGCGUAUAGAUUAUGCACGUACUCCCUCCUCCGUCCUAAAAUAAACGCACAUCUCGUUUCUCGAGGAGUCAAACUUUUAAGUUUGACUAAAAUUUAUAAAAAAAAUGUACUACUAUUUAUAAUGUAUAAUAAAUGUCAUUAUUGAGCAUUGGGUAUACUUUCCUAAUACAUUUAUUUGAAGAUGCAAAUAUUGUUACUAUUUUCUAUAUUCUUAGUCAAACUUAAAAACCCGUCAUGGGGAUUAGUCACGAUAUAAGUAGGGACUAGCAAGCAUCAAAACCCCAUUCACUGCCCAUCUAUCGCUCAAAUAAAAGAAACCAUUGCAUAUGGUGGCGAUGCGCUCGCGAGCCUUUCUCCAACCUUUCUGCUCUCGCGAGCCUUGAACUCGCAUGGAACAGUUUUAGUGAGAGUGUGCCUCCAACUUUGGGAAGAUUGUGAAGCCUUAUUUACCUGUCCUUAAGUGGCAAUAAGUUAUGAUCGAAUGAUAAGGACGGAUUGGAAUUCAUCACCAUGCUAGCAAACUGCAGCCAGCUUCAGCAACUGGCUUUUGAUAAUAAUUCAUUCAUCGGUGAACUUCCUAGCUCAAUAGCAAAUCUAUCGACAACUCACCAAUUACUCUAUAUAGGAAACAAUUGGAUUUCGGGAUUUAUUCCAUCCAGCAUAGGUAAUUUGCUUGGUCUAGAACUGCUUACGUUGGCAAAUACUUUCAUAUCCGGAGUGAUUCCAGAUAGCAUUGGUCGCAUAGAAGACAUGUCCGUGUUAGGCAUUUACUACGCUAGCUUGUCAGGCAUCAUACCUUCAUCACAAGAAACCUUACACAGUUGAAAACUCUAUGCAUACGAUAGCAACUUGGAGGGUCCAAUUCCAGCAAGCUUGGGGAACUUAAAGAAUCUUUUUGUUCUUGAUCUUUCAACGAAAGUGUGUUACCCGUUAAGAUUUCAUGUCGAAGCAGAGCAUAAACCUCUCUCAAGACUGCAAAGCUAUCAUAGAGCAGAUCAGUCUGAGGGCCGGGCUAUGUACCCUUUCGGUAAGAUUACCCCAAACUAGAGUCUGUAAUUAAUUAGCCAAGACUAGAAUUACGUAGUUCUUGUGGUUGUACUGUUUUCCUGGGUGGCCGCUCCAUGUUCCAAUUAAGCAUGAUGAUCUUGUAUUAAUAAAAGGUAUAUCAUAAAUAAAACAAGUUUAAUCAUUGAGUUCAUUAAAACCAUCACAACCCAAGGUAUUGCAACUAAGCAUAUCUACCAAAAAAAGGGUAAAACCCAGGUUGACAAAGAAUGAUCAUAAAAACUAGGUAAACCUUAAUAGGGCCCAUCAAUUUUAAGUGCACAGCAAUGCAAAAGUGAUUAAAUAUAGUUAUUGGGACAAAAGCACAUGGACACACUUGCCUUUCUCCAAAGAAUAGCUGCUCUGAUUAUCUUCAACUCUUGUUCCUCAAAGCUCUCGAACAACGUUCCUUAUACUCACAUCAAUCAUUGGCACAAGCAUACAAAGCAAACAACAAUCACAACUAAGAACAAUACAUCAAUCAUAGGAAAGCUUUAAAAGAGCGCACUAAAGGAUAAGGCUUGAAUCUGAAACACUGGGAACUAAACUAUGGUUGAAAUGACAAAGCUAUCGAGAGAUUUGAAUUAUAAAAGAAAGAGAAAAGCCUAUGCGCUUCAUAUAUUUCAAUAAAGAAAAUAAUGUAAAGAUAUUUUAGAGAAACAUCCUUAGCAAGUUAUAUUUAUAUAUGAAAAGAUAAUGUAGAACUUAGUCAAAUUUUAUUUAUAAACAUUCAAGUACAAUUUAUGCAAAUUAAAAAUUUAAUUUGAAAAUAAAGUAUAUGGAAACAUCUAAGCGCAUAGCUUUAUGAUUCGGGUUGAACUAACCAAAUAUAAUUCAAAAACAUAUUUAUAUUUAUAUUAAGUCAAAUUAACAUAUAAUUAUGAAACCUCGAGAUAUAACUUAUGUAGCUUUUAUUUAGAAAACAAAUUGAAUAAACAUUAAUCAAUUUAAGUUCAAUUAUGAACCACCGUGGUGCAUCUCUAAUUCACUUUUAAUUGAAAGAGUUAUUUAAAUAAGCAUUAACUAAAUUAAUAUUUAUUAUGAAAAGUGGUUAUAACACUAAGUAGCUUUUAAUUAAGGAAGGCAUGUUUAACAUGCAUUAAUUAGAUUAAUAUUAAAUUUAUUUUAAAAACAUGCAUGAUGGAAAGAUCAGUACUAACAUGUAAUUUGUGUUAUCACGAACCUAACUCAACAAGAACGGAUAUAAACGGAGCUGUAACGAGGAGUCUAUGGGUUAAACAAGGUUGCAGGGCCUAAUCACGAUUAACGGAAGGUUGUUGGGGCUAGCAAGGAAGAUUUGCAAGACACUGGAAUAGAGCUCGUUAUUAGGUCAAAGCAUAGGGUUAGAUCUGUUAAAGUGCUCAGGUUGGACUUGGUUGCACGGAUACAAUCUAAUCAGGGACAUGGAUGAAAAAAACAAGACACAAGGAAAAACUAACUAUAUAUAGAGCUUUCUAGGGGCCUAUGCGCAAAAGCACCAUAGCUCAGCAUCCAUGGUGGACGGGCUCCUUGACGGCAAAAUCCUCAUGCUGGAUUUAUAAGCCUGGUAGUCCACCAAGGGGUUUCCCAAGUAGUUGAUUUGUAGGUGAGGGUGAUUGUGAAACCAAGAACUCGAAGGUGAUUGUGAGAACACGAAGGGACACAAAGGUUUUAGACAUGUUCGGGCCUCCGAAGAGUAAUACCCUACGUCCUAUAUGCUGGUUUGUAUUGCUUGAGAUUGAUGUGAUUGUUGCGAUAUCCUCGGGGGUGCCCUUGGCCACCUUAUAUAGGUUGACGACCAAGAGUUAAAAGUCGGUUUGAAUCUAAUCUACUCGGUAGUUACAUGGAAAGUAAUCUGAGUUGGACUACAAUACACGUUCCAUGAUAUCCGAGCAGAUUUGAACUGUCUUGUUGCCUUGACUUGCACUCCAAGUAACUUCAUAUCCUCGGCCCACACGCCCUGGUCGAGCGAGCCCUACUUGUCAGGUUCGGCCAGUAUCCUGGUCGGCUGGGGCCCAUGGGGUACCCAUUUCUCUCAAGCCCCCGAGCGUUGUGUAGGCAAAUAGAAACUUGAGGUCACCAAAACGAAACUUGAAAUGAAGUCGGCUGAAGCUGCGAAGGCGUCAUUGCGACGGAGAGGCUGCGCAGUGCUUAAAAGAAGAAAAUCUGAGCAAACACAGAGCCAACGCGUAGAGCGAAGACGAGUGCCGAGUUGAUGGAUGCUGGCAUCCAGUAGGUCGGAGCGAAGGUUACGGAGGGCGUCGCAAGAGAAACUCCGUAGGAGUAGCCCCCGAGCAUUGAAACGAUUAAGAUAAUCGGUACAUUGGUCAAAGUACAAAAAAUUAUCCCAUGAUGUAGAUCCUAGUGCUCGAACACAAGGAUGGGUGCAGCCAUGGAGGCCCGCCCACUAGAAGUAGGCACCCAGACCCAAGGACGAGGACUGAUAGGACCGCGUAGCCACGCUGACCUGAAAUAGGCGUCCAACCCCCGAGGACGAGGACUAGCGGAGCCGCGGAGGCAUGCUGACCUGAAGUAGGCGCCCAGCCCCCGAGGAUGAGGACUGGCGGAGCCAUGAAGGCACGCCGACUUGAAAUAGGCACCAAGUGUAACAACUCUACCUAAAUUAAGUGCUUUUAAAUAUAAACUAGUGGCUAAUCACUAAGUUAAAGAAGUAAAAUGACCAUUUUAACCCUAAGAAGCUCUUUUUGGAGUUUGAAAUAAAACUUGGAAUUUUAUAUGCAAACUUAAAAUUUUGCCCAAACAAGAGUUGUAAAACUUUCAAUUUCAAACAACUUUUGUUAAACGAACUUUGACUAAUUCAGAGUGGGAGGAAGUCAAAAAUAGCAAUCAAAACUGGAGUACUAAAGAACCCUAUAAACCUCCUAAGUCCUGGUUUUCAAAUUUUCCCUCCAACUUUGCAAGCCUUUAUCUCAUGAUUUCUUAUCCAAACUCAAGUCAGGCUCUUAAUAAAAGUUGUAGUCCCUCGAGUGUGUUCCAACUUUGUUACACUGACCCAGGUCCAAAUCGGGCCAGAACCUGUUCAAAAUCUUGGUCAAAGUGAGGUAAAACAGUCAACUCAUCCCUUGAGCCCCACAACGCUAAGUCUGAAAAACUGCUCAGAGUGCACCUCUUGGCGAGGGCGUUCCUCCAAAUUUUUGAACUAAACUCAAGAAAUACCCUAAAUAAAAGCUUAAACCCAGGGACCCCUACGUAGUUAAACCUUAAACCCAGGGGCUUGCUUGCAACUUUGUCACAGCUUUUCUUUUAAAUAAUAGGCAGAAAUAUGGUUGAAUUUUGUAAAUGCCCAGUAAAUCGUAGAAUAAUCAUAAAAAUGCCAAACUACUUUUGCUAGAAUCCUUUCUCUGUCUAGUUCCUAAGAAAAAUAAGUUUGCUCAUGUUACUGUUGUAAAUAAUAUCCUACGCUUUUAAUCAUGUUGUAGGCCUUUUAAAUCCUAAUAAAUAGAAGAAAAGUGGGAAAAAUGUGGAACCAACUCUGUGAUGCUUGUUUCUAUGUGUAGAAGCUUAGAAAAAUAGUUAGGGCUCUGGUGUAGCACUUUAAGUCACUGUUUUGACUUUAAAUUGGGAAUCUAAGUAUAAAUCUUCCUUUUUGCAUAAGUUUUGAUCUAGAGCUUAGAAAAAUGUGAAACUAGUUGGGUUAAUUUUGUUUUGCUGUAAAGUUCUCAGGAAAAAUAUAAAUUGUUGUGCAAAUCAGAAAUAAAAACACCUUCCUUGCUAAGCAUGUUUAAUUAAGAAAAGAAAUAGAGUAAAUAGUAACCUUGUCCAAAAAUUACGAAAAAAUUCACCAAAGCACCUGUAACAUACCCUUAACACACUGCUUAAGUUUCACCCUCUGUUGCACAAUAAUUUUGAAGAUGGAAAAAAUUAAGCUCAGUUUACCUUUAAUAAUAAAAUGCAUGUAACUUCUUUUUAAGUCAUCCUUUGGCCCCCAAACUUUUACAGUAACCUAGUGAUGGCUUAAGUGAGGUGCUGUAAUUUUAUCAAUGACUUUAACUACUUUUUGGAUAUGAAGUCAUUUUGGUUAAUUAAUCAACCUAAAGGAAUAAAAGGAGAGCGCGAAUUCUAAUACGAUAAAUAAGUGGACACUGAAAGAGGUACAUAAAAACAUUCAGAAGUAAGUAAUUAUUCCAAUGCAUCCAAACCACCCAACACGACCUUUCACACUCUUUAUGCAACUCUAAAUGCAAGAAAGCUAUAUAUGUACACAAUCGCCAUUCAACGCGAACUCAAGUUUAAAACGACCACUUUCGUUUGAAGUUAAAAAAAGUAAACCUCAUCAAAGUGUUUGUGGCUGUUGUGACUCUUGUCUUAAGCCAUGCCUUGUGUCGUUGAAUAAACGCGCGAGUCCAACUAAAUUUUUGUAUGUGCAUGUCGUAUAGAAGCAACUCUCGCCGACGGAACCUACGAGCUCCACCCGGCACCAGAGAAAGACCCCGCUACGGAGCUUCACCACUUGGAAGGCGAGCCCGAACCGGAGCAAGAUCCUGAGGACCCGCUAACUUUUCCUGAAGGCAAGCCCCGGAGCAUAAAUUCCUAUCUUUGAAUACUUGCAAUAUUAUUGAACACUUUGAUUGCGCAUUUACGUUUCUAGGAGUUGUAAUGAAACCUUAGAUGCAUGAACUUAGUACCUUGUUUGAAUACUAGUUGCUAAAGUCGAGUAGUUGCAAUGCUUAAUAGGUUCCGGUAAAAGUCGAGUGAUUUCCUAUCACUCGCGAGUUAUAGGAGUUGAAUGUUUACUUAUGUUGCAACUAUAAGGACGAUGGAUGUGGUCGGGCUUAUGUUCGAUACUUGGUGGUUUUUCCCCGUCUGUCUAAAGGAAAUUGAUCUAAGGUUGAAAUGUGUCGGCGUUCGUGAUCAAGUGUUUGAAAGUACUAAUCUCAUACCUAGUAUGGGAUGGGGAAGCCUAGUACCUGAUUGAACUGGGGCAUGGCAUACUCCCCCAGCUGCCUUGGAACACCGUUCCCAUGGUGCAUCAUGUGGGUGCAAGUGCGGUCAUAGUACGGCAGAGGCCGGGAUUAUGGAGCAUGGCAUGCCAAAGGCAGUUGGCCCUGACACGUGCCUAAGGGAUCGAUGGGGACGGCUGACAAAUGAAGCAACCCUUCGUGGUGCGCGGAUGUCGUGAGAUUAGGUUCGCCAUGCAUGGUUAAUAAAUUCGAAUCGAUUCGUCUGCCUCUCACAGUUUGGGACUACUUGAUCGCUAUUCUGCACUGAGUAACGAUGAAACAUGAUUACGAGAUUAAGUUGAUGCUUGUUAUUUAACUGCUUGGAAAUCAUGCUUGUUUAGCAUAAGUGGCUAAUCUAGAAUGGUUAAAGAACGUAGAACUUGAGCUAAAAUAUUGAAAGUAAGGACUGAUUGUAGACGCUUGUGGCAAAGAAAUCGCAGAGCCAGAAAGCCUUGCAUGUCUAGGUCUUGGUAAAGCUUUUCACUCGACGGGUCAGUCUUGCUGAGUAUUAGUUGCUCAGCCUUGUUGUGGCUUAAUCUUUUCCAGUGAUGUCAAUAGUUUGGUUGCGGGCACCACUUGGCCUACCCAGCUCCCUCCGGGCUGGACAGUCGAGUGGGAUCCCUCCUCGGACGGCGAGGGAAGGGAUUUUUGAUGUCAUGAUUGGAUCCGUCGUGAUGUCAUGUAUCGAUGUUUAGCUUCCGCUUGUUUUAUCCGACUUUUCGAACCUUGCAACUUGUUUGAAUUUUCAGAAACUCUGAUGUAAUAAUUUGUGACACUAAGGAAUGUGAUGGAAUGUAGUAAUCUCUGUGCUACUCACCUUCAUGUGAGCGAUGCUUCUCGAUCCUGUUUAGGUGGUUCAUCGGAUGAAAUCCAACGGUCGACCAGUUUGACUUGCUUAAAGUGCAUAAUCGCGUGUCAGGCGACUUCAACGCAUUUUAGUCAGGUUAAUUUGGGUGGUUCCGCCACAGCUAGCAUCAGAGCUCGAAGCACGGUAUGGAGAACAACAAACCUUAAAACACUUUUCCUGACUAAAACUUGCAAGAAACGAGUUGAAAAAUUCGUAAGUUCGUUAAGGAUGAAUUUAGUACGAGGAGCCCUAGGGGAAUUUUGGGUCUUUUAAGGUGGCUAAUAAUUAUUGGUUAUCUUCUGACUUCCAGCACUUGUUACCACGUCUAUCAUACGUGUGCCGAGAUCUGCAUCGCGAGUGUGCGAAGGGUGAUAGGAAUUCGAUUCCAACGAGCCUAUCAUCACGGUUGUUUCGCCCACGUCUAUUAUACGUGCGCAGGUUCCGUAUGUUAAUUCAUGCGAAGGAUGGUAUGGUUCGAUUCCAACGAGCCUAUCAUCACGGUUGUUCGCCCACGUUUAUUAUACGUGUGCAUGAUUCCGCAUCACGAGAAUGUGAAGGGUUAUAUGGUUCUAUUCAAGGGAACCUAUUUCCACGGUUGUUGCGCUGUCCAUGCAGCGUUAAACGCAUGGGUGCCGUUUCUAUAGUGAACGGUAAUGAUUGUGGACGCUUUUGUGAGUACUGGCACGGAAAGUUCAAGCUAUGAUGUGUUUUUCUGCGGGUACACUAACAACGUUGCGUACGAAACGAUGCUUAGCAACUCGACUAGUUAUUAUAGUGAGAGUCGUAUUGUUGCCUUGCCACCGGCACUAACCACGUAAGUUCAAAGAUUUUUGGCGAUUAUUUUUGGUUGAGAGGAUGACUAGGACGUGCAUGCAUUAAGAAAUAAAAACCGCAACCUAAGGAAAUAAAACCAAGCUCGAGUGUGUCGUAAAAAGAAAUGCACCGCGAUAAGGAUCGUCUAGUUGUCCUUUUUUUUCCGCCAUGCACGUUUAAAUAAAUCUUUCAGGUUGUUCCAUAUGAUAACUUCAGAAACUUUAUAUAAGAAAUUUGUGUUAAAUCUCCCAAGUAAACUGCUGAAAAUUUUUCACAAAGUACUACCACUUGGGUUGAGAGUUGUGAUCAGUUUUGUGACCCCCUGUUGGCUGUUAGCCCUGAGUGCACACCAGUUGGAAUUCUGCUGUUUCGACCACCUUAAGAACUUUUUCUGCUAGGAGUCCCUUAAGAAACGUUUCUCAAAACUUAAUAAAGAACUUACUGGUAAAAUUGCAGCUUCAUUAGGUCUCUUGUUUUGAAGUUAUGUUCAGUUUACUUUGACUCGGGUCUGAAAAAUUCUAGCAUGUACACUUAAUGGGAAUCUGAGGUUAUCACCUUGUUAGGUCCUGUUCUAGCCCUACCUUUGAAUACCAAACUUGUUACGCACUAUCUAAAGAACAUGCUGGUAAAAUUUGAGAAAUUUUGGAUGAAUAAUUGCUGAGUUAUGAGCUUUUCUCUAACUGCUAGAAAUCUGUUUUGAUUUCCAAGUGUUAACUCCGUUUCUCACUUGUCCUUUGGUUACAGUGGCUCAGCCUGUGCACGUUGCAGUCGGUACGGAUGGCACCACCUACUCACGGUGCCUUCACUACGAGGGUUUCCUAGCCGUACUGUGGGACACCCUGCGCUCUUUUGGGUACCCGUCACCGCCAGUUUACGCGGGACGUGCAUACCAGGACCGCGGGAUUCCGCGGAGUCGCGUGCACGUGCGGGUGCCCCCGCCUCCGGGUCAGCCACAGUGUCCGCUUUUGGAGGUGGUGGCCGAGGGAUAGACACUACAGGACACCUGGGAGUUCGCAGCCUUGCAGACCCUGACACAGUUUUGCCGGGCACACCCUCUUGAGAUCGUGCUGGACCCGAUUGGGUUGUGCUCUGCUCGGGAUACGAGGGACCCGGAUUGGUUGGAUCGUAUGGAGCAUAUGGACUUACUCAGGGUUAUGGAUCCACAACGCACGAUUUUUGUUUCAGCUCGUUGCCUGAACGUGUUCUUCCGGAUGGUUGAGAUGCAGAGCCGAGCGAUGGCUACGGUGAUCGGGAUGGCAGUGGCCAACCAGGUCGCUUUAUCUGCCGUGCAGAGUGGCAUGGUGGACCAGUCGCUUGAGCUAGUACAGAAGGAUGUCCAGAUUGCUGAGAUGCAGGACAAGAUCACUCGUUUGGAGGAGGAGAUUGUGGAUAUGGAGCAUGAUAUGGAGAUCUUGGCUGACCAGUUCUAUGAUGUGAACAUGGAGCCGGCGAACGUCAAUGAGCACCUGCAGGAGCAUCACGAUGAGCUUAAUGCCAUUCACACCUUAGAGAUGCAGCAGGAUGAGCCGAUGGCCCAGGAGGAGGAGCCUGAGGAGAUCGAGGGCUUUUCGAGCAUGGACUAUGAGGAGGCCUCUCCGCAGCCUCCAGUUGGCGAUGCUCACUCUCCUGCCCUUAGCUUUGCCUCCGUGGGCAACCUCGACGACUUCUAGUUGUGUUGACUUGUUGUUGAGGGGUUCUCUUUUGUUUUUACUCCUCGGCGACCUAUAUUUUGGCUAGUGAUAUAAUAGGUUAGCUUGAGUUGAGUAUUUGGGAGUUGAGAAACUGAUUCUAUGUUGGAUUGCCGUUGCUAUCUUUAGUGUAAUGUCUGAAAUUUAUGGCAGAACUGCAGUGACUGUUUCUCCUCAGUUUUACCCCUGUCUCCACUCGUUUUUGAGCCAAAGUUUGAAUACCAAAGUUGUGCAAAAACUUCUGUUCUAACUAUUCGUAAAUUUUCAGCUCCUUCGGAUCUGUCAAACGCCCGCUAGAGCCAAAACCCCACUGUUCAGCUUGCUGAAAAAUCAGCCGGACAGCAACUUGCUAGAACGUCUAAACGACCUCUUUUCCUUCCUUUUCGGUCGACAAGCGUAACAUGAAAGUGGUUGUGUACGAUAUAUUCUAACCCUCACUUAAGGAUGAGAACCUUGUGCACUUCGAAGAAGAGAUAUGCACCUACUCAAUAAAAGUUUUGAUUGUUGCUUUUGCACCAUCGGCAAGACUAGCGUUUAUCAUUUCCGCACAUAAUGUUUCCUUAUGGUUAAACAAGAUUUUGGGGCUAUGUGACUAAUGGAAAGGUGAAUCUUGCAGAUGGCACAUCGCAUAUGCUCCGGCUCCAUUCCUAGUGGCAGCGAGGUGCCUCCCCCACCUCCGCCUCCAACCACCCUCGAGGCAAUCUUGGCGGCUCAAACCGAGCUGCUGAGGCACAUCGCUCAGGGACAGCAGCAGCAGCAGCCCUAGGGAGGAAGAGCCCAUCAGCAGCCUCAUGUUGCUCGCUACGAGGACUUUCUGGGGACCCAGCCUCCUCUGUUCCACAAGACGGAGGACCCGCUUGACGCCGAUGCCUGGAUUCGUGCCAUCGAGUCCAAGUUCUCCCUUCUCACCGCCCAUUGCCCGGAGGAGAACAAGGUUCGGUUCGCCGCGCAACAGUUGCAUGGUUCUGCUCUCCUGUGGUGGGAUCACUACCACGCCAUGCAGCCGGCCGACCACGUCGUCGGCUGGGAGGAAUUCAAGACAGCGUUCAAGGGCCAUCACAUCCCUGAGGGUCUUCUGGAGCGCAAGCUCAAUGAGUUCCUGGCUCUCACCCAGGGAGGCCGCGACGUCCUGCACUAUGCGCAGGCUUUCAAUGACCUGUGUCGCUAUGCAGGCUAUCAUGCAGACUCUGAUGAGAAGUAGAGGGACCGCUUCCACAGAGGCUUGAGCCUGGAGCUCAAGGAAAGCCUGAAUCCCAUCAAGGUGGAUUCCUACAAUGAACUGGUGAACCUGGCAAUUUCCCAGGAAGAUUGCAUGAGGGCUCUCAAGGCUGACCUGAAGCGAAAGGCUCCAAUGCCGGCACCCGGCCCACCGGCCCAGAAAUACAAAGUGGUUCCCCCACAGGCGUCUCACAGGCCCGCACAACCUAGGAGAUGGGUUGCUCGACCUCCACCGCAGGCAGCACCUCAUUUCCCUGGAUUCCAGCCGCAAGGGCCCCGACCUACUCUUCCUAUGCCGCCAUGCCUAGUCACUGGAAACCGCUGUUUCACCUGCGGGAACCCAAGACACUUUGCCAAGAACUGCCCCCGCAACAAGAAUCAACGACCCGGUCAGAGCAAUGCACUGAGCAACAAGGGGAAGAAGCCGAGGGUUCAGGUCCGACAAGGCAGGCUGAACUACACCACCCUUGCUGAACUUCCAGAGGGUGCACCAGUGAUGACGGGUACCUUUUCUAUCUAUAACCAACCCGUCCUUAUUCUGUUUGAUUCGGGAGCAUCUCAUAGUUUCAUUGGGACUAGAACCAGUGCUAAGUGUGGGUUAGAUUUCUGUCACACAAAAGGUGCUUAUAUAAUCUCUACCCUGGGUAGGAAAGUAACUUCACACCAAGUGAGCCGCAAGGUGCCUAUCCAGUUGGGGAGAACCCUUUUUAAGGAAAACCUCCUUAUCCUUGGGAUAGAAGGAAUAGAUAUUAUCUUGGGUAUGGAUUGGAUGACUCGACAUCGAGUGGCACUAGACAUCCCUGCCAGAGCCGUCCAUAUAAACUCACCCAUUUAUGGUAGCUCAAUCAUACACUUACCCCCCCGAGAGUGCCAAACUUUUUGUGCCUAUCCCUUGACUGAAGCCCGUUUAGAAGACAUCCCAGUGGUGUGCGAGUAUCCCGAUGUGUUUCUAGAUGAUUUGCUGGGUAUGCUGCCUAAUAGAGAUAUCGAGUUUGCUAUUGAGUUGCAACCAGGUACUGCCCCAAUUUCAAAGAGACCGUACCGGAUGCCACCAGCCGAGCUGGCAGAAAUGAAAGCUCAGUUUCACGAUCUGUUGGACAAAGGUUUUAUUCAUCCAAGUACAUCACCUUGGGGUGUCCCCGCCUUGUUUGUGAAAAAGAAGGACGACAGUCUGCGUAUGUGUCUGGACUACUGCCCUCUCAAUGCGGUGACGAUAGAGAACAAGUACCCACUACCCCGCAUUGAUGUUCUGUUCGAUCAGUUAGCUGGAGCUAGAGUGUUUUCCAAAAUUGACCUCCAUUCUGGCUACCAUCAAAUCAAGAUCCACCCGUGCGACAUUCCUAAGACUGCUUUCUCUACACGGUAUGGACUCUAUGAGUACUUAGUCAUGUCAUUUGGGCUUACUAAUGCACCAGCUUAUUUCAUGUACCUCAUGAAUUCGGUGUUUAUGCUCGAACUCGACAAAUUCAUCGUGGUUUUCAUUGACGAUAUCUUGGUGUACUCAAAGGAUGAGGAAGAACAUGCAGAGCACCUACAUACUGUACUCCAACGCUUAAGAGAUCACCAACAAUAUGCCAAAUUCUCUAAGUGUGACUUCUGGCUGGACAGUGUUAAAUUCUUGGGGCACACCAUAUCCAGAGACGGUAUAGCAGUAGACCCAAGCAAAGUGCAAGAAGUAAUGGACUGGAAGUCGCCCACUUCAGUUCAUCGGAUUCGAAGUUUUCUCGGGUUAGCAGGUUACUACCGUCGCUUCAUUCCUGACUUCUCAAAAAUAGCUAAGCCAAUGACGAAACUGCUAAGGAAGGGAGUUAAGUUCAUGUGGAGUGACAAAUGUGAAGAAGCCUUCCACACCCUGAGACAAUUACUGACCUCUGCGCCGGUUUUAGCUCAGCCCAACACCACUAGGCUGUUUGACGUAUAUUGCGAUGCCUCUAGCACUAGACUGGGUUGUGUUCUUAUGCAAGACAGCCGAGUCAUUGCCUAUGCCUCACGAGCGCUACGGCCACAUGAGUUGAACUACCCUACCCAUGAUCUCGAGUUAGCAGCAAUCGUUCAUGCUCUGAAAUUAUGGAGGCAUUAUCUUAUGGGAACUCGAUGCAACAUCUAUACGGAUCACAAGAGUCUUAUGUACAUCUUCACUCAAGCAGACCUCAACAUGCGCAAGAGAAGAUGGUUAGAAUUAAUCAAAGAUUAUGACCUAGAAGUGCACUAUCACCCAUGCAAAGCCAAUGUAGUUGCCGAUGCUCUCAGCCGCAAGAUCCAUUGUAACUGCUUAUCGGCAAUUAAUUAUGCCGAGACCCUCUGUCAUGAAAUGGCUAAACUCAACUUGGAAAUUGUUCCCCAUGGCACCUUAAGUCAUAUUUCUUUAGAGCCUACCCUGCUUGACCAAAUAAUUUUAGCACAACUAGAGGAUGAAGAGAUAAACCUUAUCAAGGAGAAACUCGCACAGGAGGAUGAGGGAUAUAAGCAUUUCUGAUAGGAUUGGAGAGGAGUGGUACAUUAUGAAGCUCGACUCGUAGUUCCAAAUGAUCCCGAUCUUAGGAAACAAAUUCUGGACGAAGCACACCUUUCCAAGUUCUCGAUUCACCCUGGUAGUACCAAGAUGUACCACAACCUCUGACAAAAUUUCUGGUGGAGUGGAAUGAAACCCGACAUUGCACGAUAUGUUUCAGAGUGUGAUACCUGUCAGCGAGUCAAAGCAAGCCACUUAAGGGUAGCUGGCCCCUUGCGGCCACUGCCUAUUCCCUCGUGGAAGUGGGAGGACAUAAGCAUUAUAGUCAGACUACCCAAUACCUCCCGCAAACAUGAUUCGAUAUGGGUUAUAGUAGACCGACUUACCAAAACAGCGCAUUUUCUUCCAGUACACACCACCCGCGCCAUACAGAAAUAUGCAGAACUGUACCUUGACCGGAUUGUUUCCUUGCAUGGUGUACCUAAGACGAUCAUCUCUGAUCGAGGUAGUCAGUUUGUAGCACGCUUUUGGGAGCAGUUGCAGUUUUCACUUGACACUAAAUUUAUUCGUAGUUCCACAUAUCAUCCUUAAACCGAUGGACAAACUGAAAGGGUUAACCAGAUUUUGGAAGAUAUGCUACGCGCCUGUGCCAUUCAUUAUGACAAGAACUGGGAUAAGUGUUUGCCAUUAGCGGAAUUCUCAUACAACAAUAGUUACCAAGCUAGCCUGAAAAUGGCGCCUUUUGAAGCCUUGUAUGGACGUAGAUGCCGAACCCCGCUAAGCUGGUCGCAACAGUGUAUGGACCUGACCUGGUCAUGGAGGCCGAAGAAAAAGUAAGAGUUAUUCGUGAAAAUCUCAAGGCCGCCCAGUCUCGACAAAAGAGCUAUUCCGAUCAAAGAAGAAGACCUAUCCAAUUUGAGGUUGGGGAUUUUGUAUACCUGCGGGUUUCACCGACCAAAGGCGUACAACGUUUUGGAGUAAAAGGAAAGUUGGCUCCGCGCUAUAUUGGUCCCUAUGAGAUUGUAGAAGUUUGUGGACCCGUAGCGUAUCGAGUUAAACUUCCAGAGAAGAUUGCAGCGAUACACGAUGUUUUCCAUGUCUCACAACUCAAGAAGUGCAUUCGGGUUCCAACUGAAAUCAUCGCCUCGGAAGAAUUGGAGAUUGAACCCGAUUUAACAUACAAGGAGUAUCCUGUUAAGAUCCUUGACCGGAAGGAAAGACAUACUCGUAGGCAAAUGGUAAAAAUGUACAAAAUUUGGUGGAGUAACCAUACGGAAGAUGAAGCGACCUGGGAGACGGAAGAGUAUCUCAACACUAACUUCCGCGGUUUUCUUUUCGACCAGGAAGGUACGUUGCACCGGCCACACUAGUUCCUUUCUGCACUUGAAUCUCGGGGCGAGAUUCCUUUAAGGGGGGUAGGCUGUAACAACUCUACCUAAAUUAAGUGCUUUUAAAUAUAAACCAGUGGCUAAUCACUAAGUUAAAGAAGUAAAAUGACCAUUUUAACCCUAAGAAGCUCUUUUUGGAGUUUGAAAUAAAACUUGGAAUUUUAUAUGCAAACUUAAAAUUUUGCCCAAAUAAGAGUUGUAAAACUUUCAAUUUCAAACAACUUUUGUUAAAGGAACUUUGACUAAUUCGGAGUGGGAGGAAGUCAAAAACAGCAAUCAAAACCGGAGUACUAAAGAACCCUAUAAACCUCCUAAGUCCUGGUUUUCAAAUUUUCCCUCCAACUUUGCAAGCAUUUAUCUCACGAUUUUGUAUCUAAACUCAAGUCAGGCUCUUAAUAAAAGUUGUAGUCCCUCAAGUGUGUUCCAACUUUGUUACACUAACCCAGGUCCAAAUCGGGCCAGAACCUGUUCACAAUCUUGGUCAAAGUGAGGUAAAACAGUCAACUCAUCCCCUGAGCCCCACAACGCUAAGUCUGAAAAACUGCUCAGAGUGCACCUCUUGGCGAGGGCGUUCCUCCAAAUUUUUGAACUAAACUCAAGAAAUAACCUGAAUAAAAGUUUAAGUCCUCAGUUUGGAGAGCAACUCCUUCAAUAACACUUCAGUCUAAUUCAACUUGGAAGCUGCCCUAAAUUCGACUCAAACAUAGCUAAGUUCCUGAAAUUCCACCUCUCCGGCCAAAAUUGGCUAAGUCUGGAUUUCCAGAUUUUUAGCAAACUUUGGCACGAGAUAUCUUCAAAUCCUUUCACAAUCUAAACCAGCACCUUAAACCAAGUUUGAACUACGUCCAGAGUUGAACAAGUUUGUUUAAAGGAGUUUUGGAAGAUGUGUUGCAAAAUCUUAAGUUAGGAUCUCCCAAAGCCGGUCGGGCUUGCUGCCCGAAGGGGGCCUCGACGCCCGCGCGCCAGAGCACGUUCGCCCGCGCGCCACGCGUCGCGUGGCCGCCGGCCACCGGCAGUUCGCCGGCGCCCUAUCACCGGCAAGACAACGAUAGGGCAAGGGCCACGGCGCCCAACCCGCGCUUGCGACAGGACGGUGCGAAUGCCGGGCUAGCGAACCGCCGGCCGCGCGGGUGUCCUUUUCCCCCUGCCACGGCUCUGCUCCGCCAACCGUGCUCCGCCCGUCCGCGGGAGAAGCCGCCACGCCGAUGACAUCCCGCGCCUCCGCCCGCUCGCCCAACCCCAAUGGUAGCCCUCCGCUUCGCCCGCCCGACAGACCGGAAGCCUCAGACACGCAUCGCCCAAGGCCAAUCCCCGCCGGAGACCACUCGGAGCUCCGACUCCUCUGCCCAAUGGCGCCGCUGGCCAAUGGCCGCCUCGCCCGCGCACCCGCCGCACCUGGCCUUAUCCUUCCUCCACCAGAGCCCCGCCUCGACCCUCCGCUCCACCGCUGCCCUAUAAAAAGGUCCCUCUCACCGGCAACGCCACCCUUUGCCACCACCCACAAUCGCGCCACCGCUUCCUCCUCUGCGCCGCCACUAAUCUUCCGUGGAGCUCACCCCUCCGCGCCACCCCGCACUCCGGCGACUUCACCGCUUGCUUUGCCAACCCACCGCGCACGUCUCCGAGCAGCUCGUGGCCUCCCCGACGCCGCCGAUGCGCCGGAACGUCGCCUGCACCGCCGCCAGCCAAGCUCUGUUGCCGCCGCCGCGUUCCGAUCCCCGUCGGCCAUCUCCGUCGCCCCAACCCCGCCAAACCGAGCUCAGGUGAGCCCCCGCACCUCUCCGGCCACUUGUUGCCCCAUCCUCGCCGGCGAACCGCCGGGGAUUUCCUCACCGCCGCCGCGCGCGCCCCGGGGACCACAUUGCAUCGUCCCCAUUCUUUCCAGGGGCUUGAGCGCAAAACUCAAGGACCCCUGUGUAGUUAAACCUUAAACCCAGGGGCUUGCUUGCAAGUUUGCCACGGCUUUUCUUUUAAAUAAUAGGCAGAAAUAUGGUUGAACUUUGUAAAUGCCCAGUAAAUCGUAGAAAAAUCAUAAAAAUGCCAAACCACUUUUGCUAGGAUCCUUGCUCUGUCUAGUUCCUAAGAAAAAUAAGUUUGCUCAUGUUAAUGUUGUAAAUAAUAUCCUAUGCUUUUAAUCAUGUUGUAGGCCUUUUAAAUCCUAAUAAAUAGAAAAGUGGGAAAAAUGUGGAACCAACUCUGUGAUGCUUGUUUCUAUGUGUAGAAGCUCAGAAAAAUGGUUCGGGCUCUGGUCUAGCAUUUUAAGUCACUGUUUCGACUUUAAAUUGGGAAUCUAAAUAUAAAUCUUCCUUUUUGCAUAAGUUUUGAUCUAGAGCUCAGAAAAAUGUGAAACUAGUUGGGUUAAUUUUGUUUUGCUGUGAAGUUUGCUGGAAAAAUAUAAAUUGUUGUGCAAAUCAGAAAGAAAAACACCUUCCUUGCUAAGCAUGUUUAAUUAAGAAAAGAAAAGGAGUAAAUAGUAACCUUCUCCAAAAAUUAUGAAAAAUUCACCAAAGCUCCUGUAACAUACCCUUAACACACUGCUUAAGUUUCACCCUCUGUUGCACAGUAACUUUGAAGAUGGAAAAAGUUAAGCUCAGUUUACCUUUAAUAAUAAAAUGCAUGUAACUUCUUUUUAAGUCAUCCUUUGGCCCCCAAACUUUUACAGUAACCUAGUGAUGGCUUAAGUGAGGUGCUGUAAUUUUAUCAAUGCCUUUAACUACUAUUUGGAUAUGAAGUCAUUUUGGUUAAUUAAUCAACCUAAAGGAAUAAAAGGAGAGCGCAAAUUCUAAUACGAUAAAUAAGUGGACACUGAAAGAGGUACAUCAAAACAUUCAGAAGUAAGUAAUUAUUCCAAUGCACCCAAACCACCCAACACGACCUUUCACACUCUUUAUGCAACUCUAAAUGCAAGAAAGCUAUAUAUGUACACAAUCGCCAUUCAACGCGAACUCAAGUUUAAAACGACCACUUUCGUUUGAAGUUAAAAGAAAGUAAACCUCUCCAAAGUGUUUGUGGCUGUUGUGACUCUUGUCUUAAGCCAUGCCUUGUGUCGUUGAAUAAACGCGCGAGUCCAACUAAAUUUUUGCAUGUGCAUGUCGUAUAGAAGCAAAUCUCGCCGACGGAACCUACGAGCUCCACCCGGCACCAGAGAAAGACCCCGCUGCGGAGCUUCACCACUUGGAAGGCGAGCCCAAACCGGAGCAAGAUCCUAAGGACCCGCUAACUUUUCCUGAAGGCAAGCCCCGGAGCAUAAAUUCCUAUAUUUGAAUACUUGCAAUAUUAUUGAACACUUUGAUUGCGCAUUUACGUUUAUAGGAGUUGUAAUGAAACCUUAGAUGCAUGUACUAGUUGCUAAAGUCGAGUAGUUGCAAUGCUUAAUAGGUUCCGGUAAAAGUCGAGUGAUUUCCUAUCACUCGCGAGUUAUAAGAGUUGAAUGUUUACUUAUGUUGCAACUAUAAGGACGAUGGACAGGGUCGGGCUUAUGUUCGAUACUUGGUGAUUUUCCCCGUCUGUCUAAAGGAAAUUUAUCUAAGGUCGAAACGUGUCGGCGUUCGUGAUCAAGUGUUUGAAAGUACUAAUCUCAUACCUAGUAUGGGAUGGGGAAGCCUAGUACCUGAUUGAACUGGGGCGUGGCAUACUCCCCCGGCUGUCCUUGGAACACCGUUCCCAUGGUGCAUCAUGUGGGUGCAAGUGCGGUUAUAGUACGGCAGAGGCCGGGAUUAUGGAGCAUUGCAUGCCAAUGGCAAUUGGCCCUGACACGUGCCUAAGGGAUUGAUGGGGACGGCUGACAAAUGAAGCGACCCUUCGUGGUGCGCAGAUGUCGUGAGAUUAGGUUCGCCAUGCAUGGUUAAUAAAUUCAAAUCGAUUCGGCUGCCUCUCACAGUUUGGGACUACUUGAUCGCUAUUCUGCACUAAGUAACAAUGAAACAUGAUUAUGAGAUUAAGUUGAUGCUUGUUAUUUAACUGCUUGGAAAUCAUGCUUGUUUAGCAUAAGUGGCUAAUCUAGAAUGGUUAAAGAACGUAGAACUUGAGCUAAAAUAUUGAAAGUAAGGACCGAUUGUAGACGCUUGUGGCAAAGAAAUCGCAGAGCCAGGAAGCCUUGCAUGUCUAGGUCUUGGUAAAGCUUUUCACUCGACGGGUCAGUCUUGUUGAGUAUUAGUUGCUCAGCCUUGUUGUGGCUUAAUCUUUUCCGGUGAUGUCAAUAGUUUGGUUGCGGGCACCACUUGGCCUACCCAGCUCCCUCCGGGCUGGACAGUCGAGUGGGAUCCCUCCUCGGACGGCGAGGGAAGGGAUUUUUGAUGUCAUGAUUGGCUCCGUCGUGAUGUCAUGUAUCGACGUUUAGCUUCCGCUUUUUUUAUCUGACUUUUCGAACCUUGCAACUUGUUUGAAUUUUCAGAAACUCUGAUGUAAUAAUUUGUGAAACUAAGUAAUGUGAUGGAAUGUUGUAAUCUCUGUGCUACUCACCUUCGUGUGAGCGAUACUUCUCGAUCCUAUUUAGGUGGUUCAUCGGAUGAAAUCCGACGGUCGACCAGGUUGACUUGCUUAAAGUGCAUGAUCGUGUGUCAGGCGACUUCAAUGCAUUUUAGUCAGGUUAAUUUGGGCGGUUCCGCCACAGCAAGCCCCCGAGGACGAGGACCGGCAAAGCCAUGAACGCACGCUGACCAGAGUUAGGCGUCCAGCCCCCGAGCAUGAGCGCAAGGACUGGUGGAAGCACGUCGAGUUGCCUCCCGCCCUAAGCCGAGGCAGAGAGGUUGGCUGGGCGACGGGCGACACGUGGAGUCAUCUACGGUACCUAGCCGCCGAGCCUGGGAGCAGGACGAGUUGCAAAAGCAUGCCAAGUUGCCUCUUGCCCUGAGCUAGCAAGGUCGACCGGGUGACGGGAGGCACGCCAAGUCAUCUGCGGUGCCCAGCCCCCGAGCCUUGGAGCCGGCCGAGCCACAGAAGCACGCCAAGCCGCCUCCCGCCCCGAGCUAGAGAGGUCAGUCGGGCAAUGGGAGGCACGCCGAGUCGUCUGCGGUGCCCAGGCCCCGAGCCUAGGAGCCGGACGAGCCACAAAAGCAUGCCAAGUCGCUUCCUGUCCUGAGCUAGAGAGCUCGGCCGGGUGACGGGAGGCACACCGAGUAGUUUUUUGAGCUGUAAAAGGACAAUACAAUCAUUAUGUAGCAUAAUGUAGAUUAUUUAAUCAUUGAACAACUCGGAAGUUUAAUACGCUGUAGAAGUAAACUCUUGCUAAUCCUGCUCUUGUAGGCCAAGUAAAUUCCCCAGGUAGUUAGCUUAUUACGUUCAAGCACCUAGCCCUACUAACCACUGCUCAUGGAGAGGAUAGUUUAUCUCAGGCUAUAGCGCUGGGGCUGACCUGAUGCUCGCAUAUAGGAGACGCGCAGGAUGAGUCAAGGUUUCACGGAUUAAGGCGUGUGCUACCCGAGUACUUUAGCAACCGUUAACAGGGACGGAUAAGCCGCAAAGCAACUGGAGCUAUGCAAAAAAGCACCAGCAUGAGCUGGGCACCCAUGGGGUGUAGCCCCCGGCCGCCCGUGUAGUGGGUGGACCAAGCUGUAUAAGUAGGCACGGUGCGACCAAGGUGGUCGGCGAAAGUCACGAGGACAUAGGAGAGCUGAGGUGGUCGACAAAAGUCACAGGAACAUGGAGGAGCCGAGGUUUAUGUAGGUAUACGGAAGUCGUAAAAUAUUUAAUUAUAAAUAAGACUUAUCCUUAUUUGUGGUCAAGUCAAAAAACCCGCGUGUCAUCUUCGCGUUUAGGCUUAGAAGCCCCUGAGCGUGGUCGUCGGAUAGUUGUUGGUGAAGCAAACUAGUUGGGCAUGCCCAACUAAUUCAUGUCGAGGCCGAGUUGUUGGAGUUGUUAGCGGCACGUUUGUGGUAUGCUACUGCCGAGUCGAUGCGGCCAUCGGGUCGUGGCCGGCUGGCCGCCACGCUCACAGUACAACAUGCCUAGGUUGUGCUGCCAAACCAAGGGUGCAUGUAAAUCUUUCCGAAGCUUGUAAGGAAGCCCUCACAUAUUAAGGAACUCUAUACCUAAUACCAUCAUGGUUGUUUUGCAAAAAAGUCUCUCAACUUUUUUGUAAUCAACCCGCAGUCUUUGGAAUGUCUUGAAGAUUGUGCAAAAAGAUCCCCAAACUUUACUGCAAUUGGCCAUCGAAGCUCCCACAGCGUGCACCUAUGCCACAUGCGGUGCGGACGGGUGUGCCGGCUGCGACUGCAAGCUCCUCGCUGCGGCAGGGACCAGGUCGAGCAGCGACAGCAAUGACGAAGGGGAGUAGUCUGCGUCUGCGUGCCAUGCCACCGUCACCGGGCAAGCUGUGGUAGCGGCGGAGUGGGAGAGUGAGUCCAUUGGCGUGUGGAGGGUGCCGUGGGGCAGGUGGGUGGCGGAGAUCUGCAACCCACACCUCGCUGUGUGCAAGUGGCUCAGCACCUUCGACACCACUGAGGACGCCGCGCGUGCCUACAACGUCGCCACCGUCGAGUUCCGAGGCUGCUGUGCCAAGCUCAACUUCCCCGACGAUGCGGCUCUCGCACCUGCACCUUCCUAGGUGCUGACCUCGACAUACCAACACCACCACCACCUGCCGCAGCCGCUGCUCGAGAGCCUGCACGAGACCUGCGGGUCGAACGCAUCCUCAUCAGUGGACGUGGCUCUUGUGGUAGCGGCACCGACUGGGCAGCACGACACGAGGCCGGUGCCGAAGGAGCAGGACAUAUGGGACACGCUAAACGAGUUCAUGAUGAUGGAUGACGGUAGCUUCUGGUCGCCCAUGCCAUGAUCGUCAUAUUCUCCUCUUGUCUUCACUUUCGUUGCUUAGCAGAUAAUGGUGGUCAGCUGCCCUCUAGUCUGUCGUCAAUCGCCAGCCAUCCAUUGCUUUUAUAUGGUUUUACACUAGCUUUUGGGCUUUGAUCACACCUCCACACCCAUACGAAACGACUAGCUAGAGCGAUGUUGAUCUACUGCCUACCGCGCGCUAGGGCGAGCAGCUACUCACUCGGGCUGCAUGCCCUACCCACCACCUGGACCUAAGAGGUGAAGGAGAGAGGAGGAAGGGGGAAGGAAACAAGGAGCCGAGUGCCUCUUUGUAGUCAACCAAGUAGAGCCAUAUGCUAGUGAAGGCAUGGCGCCAGCGAGGGGGGCGCAGCGGCAGUCGGCAGGCAACGCAAACAGGGGCGGAGGUCGAGACCUCACACCCCCCUCUCAAUGACGUCCAUCCCCUUCAGAUCCGGAACUAAAGCCUCCACACCUAGCAAUUGGGGGCUCGAUUUUGCACUUGAUUGGAACGAUUUGGAGUGGAUUAUAGAAGGGAGGUGGAUGGAAAUGAGAAGAAGAGGAAAACGCACUCCUGCUCAUGGUGGCCAGAGGCACUGUGGCCUAGCGCUCAAAGCGGGAAUGAGGCUAGGCACGGGAAGGACGAGCGUUUGCCUGGGCGACGACGAGGAUGGCAAGAUGCGCAGCGCUUAGACGACGGUGAAGAUGGGGCAAGAUGUGGGUGGCACCGAUGGACGAAGAGGCAUCGACUGGUUAGAUGAUAAUGAGUACGGGGAAAAUUGAAUGAAUUUAUAGAGCGGUGGUUGAGCGGUGAUUUUUUUUGUUUCCAUGUGUGGGUCCCACGUAAUAAACAGAUGGCAUCAAACCACCCACAAAUAUCUUCUACUACUGUACUCGGACACCGCACCAACAUAUGGUGAAGUGAAGCUAACAUAUUAGAAACAAGCGAAUAAUAAUGUGAGAGUAAGUAAAGACCUGUAGUAACGUACGGGUAUUUCUGCUAGUAAGAAAAAAAAUUGUUAGUAAGCACCGAGCAACGUAGGAGAUCUACUGGAUGGAAUAGAUUAAAUAAUAAAGGGAAGGGAGAAUUGUUCUCUUUUUUUUCCGUGGCAGAUCUGACGUGUGUGCAUGCAACAAGUUGAGGUCGACGUGUCGUGCUAAAUCAACCAGAUCGUACCGGGGCUGGAUCAGGCGAGCUUGGUUGUGGCCGGGAUGAGGCCAAUAAGGGCGCCGCCCUUGACCUUGGCCUCCUAUUCCUCGCGGAUCUUCUGCAUCUGGAGCAUCCGCUCCAUGAUGAGCUUGUACUGGCACUUCUCGCAGGCGUGGCGCUCGGGCUCGCACUUCCAGCGGAGGUAGAACUGGGAGGUGCACGCACUGGUCAUGGUAGGCGAGUGGAACCCGAGCCUCCGCCAUCUCCACCUGCGUGACGAUCUGGAGCUUCGAGGAGCCGAACUGCACGCCGCCCGCCGCCUCCAUCUGUCACUUUGUUCCCCUCUCUCUCACUGGCGAGGUCGUUCCGUCGAUAUAUGGGCGCUGCGGGUUUGGUGCGGCGUGGGUGGGUAGGGUGCAGCAAGGAUGUGAGGAACCCUCUCGGAUAGAGAGAUUGCUGACCUACUGGGUAAGCGGUGUGAUGAUCCUUGGAUAGAGAACUUGCUCCACCAGAGUAAAUCUGACAGAUGCCGAGCUGGCGGCGGGCACCAAGUCGAAGUCCACUGACAUGCUCCUGAAGCGAAGCUGGAUCGGGUUGGUGAGAAAGUCCUUCAUGCUCUCAGGGAAAGUAAUGCCGGGGCGGGAUGCAAUCAAGCUCGCUAGGGAGGAUCUCACAAUCAUCCCUACCUGGCGCGCCAACUAUUGGAUUUAUAAGCCCGAUAGUCCACCAGGGGGUUACCCAAGUUGUUGAUUUGUAGGUGAGGGCGAUUGCGAAACCAAGAACUCUAAGGUGAUCGUGAAAACACGAAGGGACACGAAGGUUUUAGAUAGGUUGGAACCUCCGAAGAGUAAUACCCUACGUCCUGUAUGCUGGUUUGUAUUGCUUGAGAUUGAUAUGAUUGUUGGGAUACCCUUGGGGGUGCCCUUGGCCGCUUUAUAUAGGCUGACGAUCAAGAGUUACAAGUCAGUUUGAAUCUAAUCUACUCGAUAGUUACAUGGAAAGUAAUCUGAGUAGGACUAUAAUACGCGUUCCAUGAUAUUCGGCAUGUUUGAAUUGUCUUGUUGCUUUGACGUGCACUCCAAGUAACUUCAUGUCCUCAGCCCGUACGCCUUGGUCGAGUGGGCCCUACUUGUCAGGUAUGACCAGUAUCCUGAGGUACCCAUAUCUCUCACCUUGGUGCUCCGGCGAUUAGGGUCGGCAACGAGGAUGGGGAUUGGAAGAGGAGAUCGAGGGGACUUUAUGGAGAUGCUUACCGGCGGCGAGGUGGACGGAUUCCGGCUAGAAUUUGGCUGGCGGUGGAAGAACACGGCAACUGGCUCAGGUCUUCGCGAGUGAUGGUACUCCGGCGGUGGAGCGGCGACGAAGAAUGGUGGCAGAGCUGCUCCUCGAUGUCACGGAGCUCCCUAAGGCUCUAGCUUUCUUCGAUAGUCGACGGGCAUAGUGAAUCGGCCAGAGAAGGCUAGCAGCAGCUCCUAGCUCCGGCGGAUGUGGGGGAUGGCGGCGCUCGUGCAAGUAGGGAAGAGCGGCGGUGUGAGGCAGGGCAGUAGCAGGGGCACUGUCUCGACUUUUAUAGGUGUGUGGGUCCGCGCCUGCCUUGGCACGCACGCCGAGGUUCGGCGGUGGCGACGCCCAAGUGCAGCUACGCUUGGCCUUGACCCGCUAGUGGCCGAUGGGCCUAGCGAGCCUAGCCGAGCCAUCAGCUGGGCCGAGUCGGUGCAGGUUGGCUGGAGAGGGUCGGGCUACAAAGACUUGGCCCGAUCGAUUAGGAUUUUGCUUUUUUAGAAAUGAUUUCUCAUGAAAGAAAAAUCUAGAAAAAUUCUAGAUAAUUAAUUUAAAUAACGAAAAAAACCCUAAAAAUCCAAAAUUCCAGGAAAAAUCCUAGAGAUAGUUUGGGACAUGAGGAGUCCAAAUAAAAUACUUGGAGCUCAUGAAAAGGAUUCUAGAACCUUCCAAAAAUUGGAUUUAGCUAUAGAAAAAAUGAGAAUAAAUCUCAAAAAAUCUGGAAAUUCUCAUAAGAACCUAAUCGGCAUCUAAACGCAUUCCAAAAUAUUUGCACUUAUGAAAUACCAAGAUGCAUCGGUAUGAAUGCAACACAUACGGAGAACCAUUAUAUUUAAUUCAGAAAAACACUCAAUUAUUUCCCUAUACUAAAUUUCCUGUCAAGAAAAUAAAUGUUGGAAAAAUUUUAAAAUUAUGAGAAAAACAUUGUUUAAUUAUUAUUUUUAAUCUGAAAGUUCAAAAAUUUUAAGGUGUGGCAGAUACCCUCAGGUUUACAGAAUUUGACAUCCAUGUGCAAAUUGGAUGUAUCCUUCAAUGAUCUGCAAGGUGAAGUGCCAAUAGGGCUUUUUUUUUGCAAAUGCAUCUUACAUGUCGGUUUAUGGAAAUGAUCAGCUUUGUGGUGGAAUACGUCAACUUCAUUUAGCUCCAUUCUCCAUGUCCAGUGCAAAAAAGAAAAAAAAGGAAAUUUGUCGAAAACCCUUGUGAUCACCCUAACAUCAAUCAGUGCAGUUGUAUUCUCAGUUUCAGUACUUGCUGUAAUUGUGUUGAUCUGUAAGAAGCUUAGGAAAAGGCAUGAAAGUCAACUCAUAUCCACAACUGAGGAACGGUAUGAAAGAGUUUCUUAUCAUGCUUUGUCAAAUGGGACCAAUGGAUUUUCAGAGGACAAUUUACUUGGACAAGGAAGCUAUGGCAUGGUUUAUAAAUGUACUUUACAUGACCAGGGUACUACUGUAGCUGUAAAGGUGUUUAACAUAGAACAAUCUGGGACUUUUAGAAGUUUUGUCGCUGAAUGCGAGGCACUCAGAAGGGUGCAUCACCGUUGUCUCGUAAAGAUCAUCACUUGUUGCUCAAGCAUCAAUCACCGGGGUCAAGAGUUCAAGGCACUAGUUUUUGAGCUCAUGCCAAAAGGUAGCCUAAAUGGUUGGCUUCACGCAGAGUCUGACACACUUACCCCGACAGAUACUCUGAGCCUUGAACAAAGGCUACACAUUGCUGUCGAUAUCAUGGAUGCUUUGGACUAUCUUGAUAAUCACUGUCAGCCAUCAAUCAUUCAUUGCGAUCUCAAGCCAAGCAACAUCUUUCUUGCGGAAGACAUGAGUGAGUGCCCGAGUUGGAGGUUUUGGCAUAUCAAGAAUCCUUCCAGAAAGUGCUAGUAAAACCCAGCAAAAUUCGAAUAGCACAACUGGAAUAAGAGGCACCAUUGGUUAUGUUGCACCAGGUAAUGAAAGAGAUGGUUUUGGUAUUUGAAAAAUGUUCUUAGUUCUUAUGUAUACAUGAGCUGCUGACCUUUGGCUUUUUUUUUUCCAAUAAGAGUAUGGUGAAGGUUCUUCUGUCUCAACUCAAGGUGACGUUUAUAGCCUCGGCAUAUUGCUGCUUGAGAUGUUUACUGGAAGGAGCCCAACGGAUGAGAUAUUCAAUGAUUCUUUGGAUUUGCACAAGUUUUCAGAGAAUGCUCUUCCAGAGAGAAUAUGGGAUAUAGUUGAUCCGACAAUAUGGAUGCACACAGAUGCCUAUAACAGCACUAUAAGAAGUGGAAUUAAGAAUUGCUUGGUUUCUGUUGUUUCUCUUGGAAUAUCAUGCUCGAAGAAACAACCUAGGGAGCGGAUCCCGAUUCAGGAUGCAGCCAUUGAGAUGCACGCUAUUAGAGAUUCGUAUCUCAAGUUUGCCAGAUCUCUUUUGGUGGAGCAUGGAGUAGUAGCAACAACUCACAGUGAUUUCCCACAACAGUGAAUACAUAGGACUGAAAAUGGGCAAGAUGUCUGCAGGUGAUCAGUUUACCUGAAAUAACUGAAGAUGUAUGAAGCUUCAGCUUUAUAAUUCGUCCUUGCAUUUGUUUGCAUCAGAUAUAUGGAAGUAUAAAAUAAGUUUAGAAAAUGUUUCAAAAUAGAUUAGAUCAAGAGGUUUUACUUGUCGUCUGUAUGACACAUUUUUUGUAGAGAAUUCAGUAAUAUGUAUGAUUCAUAAUACAAUCAAUGCUCUGCAAAUUUCAGAUAGCACAAUUGGAAUAAAAAGCUCAUUCAUUGAUUAUGUUGCUCUAGGUGACUCAACUUAUUGUGAUGUUCACUGUAGAUUUCUCCAUGGUCCAAACGACCAUUGUGAUCAGUUAUGUUUAUGCAUUUUGUAGACUUGUUAAGUCUUUCCCUAACUUGCUGACAUAUCAGCCGGAGCAGAGCACUCUGCCAUUCUGCGCCACUCGCCUCUAGGCGGCGCUUGCCGCUUGGUGGCUGCGGUGGCGACCGGCGGCAUCCGUACCUGCUCUGUCGGAGGCUGAGGGGCACAAUUACGUCUUGGAGUCGCCACCGCGCGACCUUCGGAGCUCGCCCAUGCCUCGUCGGUACGAGCUCAGUCGCGCGGUGAAUGGCAUGCGCAUCUGGGGUCCCGUCAGCUGCAGGUGCAGAUGGGUAGAGAGCUUAGCUGCGCUAGGUCUUCAGAAGAUGUUGAGUGGGCUGGAUGGGGCUUUGCGGCUCUGAAUGGCGACGCGGGCAGGACGACGACGCUGGACGCGUGGGGAGGAGACGACCUGAACCAGGGGCAUUUCGGAUAAUAGUCGGAUCGCGAUCAAUAAUCGCAAUCCAAAUUAGGGGGCUAUUUACAAAUAAUAGGGGGUAUUCCGUAAAUAUUCGGUUCGCGAUCAUUAAUCGCGAUCCAAAUGAGGGGUUAAUUGAAAAUAUGAUGGGGGUGUCUUUUGAAAUUCCGGAUUGCGAUCCCAUCCUCCGCCGCGGCUCGCCGGAGCGCCGCCAGACGCCGGCCGUCCCUUGGGGUACCUCUUCUUCGUUCCGUCUGUCGGAGCCCUAAGACGCGGUCGGUGUUUUAUCUGACAAGGAACCCUGAAGUCCGAACUAACUGAAGAAAGACAUGAUGCUGACCUGGAAGAAGAAGACGGCCUCGCCAUGGCCGGAUGCGGCGCGGUGGAAGGACAGUGUGUUGGCGGAGCGGAUGUUGUCCGACGUGAACUCGCCAGCGGCGUGGUCCACCACAUUCCGUCGACGGGCGGUGCACUUGCUGUCGCCUGUCGGCUACUUCCAGGCAGUAGCUGAGCUUCAGAGUUCAGACAGGGUGCUUGUGCUUGCAACAAGUUCAGAACGAUGUCAUUGCUUUGAUGCAGAGGAUGGAGCAAACCGGUUGCAAAUUGGAUUCUGAUACAUAUAACUUAAUAUUGAACCUUUAUGUCGAUUGGAAAUAUGAGAAGGGGUGCCCCAAAUAUGGGAUGAGAUGGAGAGGAGUGGAUCAGGCCCAGAUCAACGAUCAUUUACUAUUAUGGUUCAUGGUCUUCAUUCCCAAGGAAAGCUUGAUGAGGCUCAACAAUGAAGUCAAGAGGGUUGAUCCCUGAACCAAGGACCAAGAUACUGGUGAAAGCUAUACAUAUGAAGAAAGAUGGGGCUGUCACAGAAGAUCAGUCUGUAAAUAUGACAGGGAAGAAUCUAAAACUGGAUCCACGAUCUAGACUAUUCCAUGUUCAUAAAUAGUUUGCUGUCAGAUCUUACUUCUAUAACCUGAACAGAGGAUUGCUGGGCACGUAUUAUGUGUCAAAAGAAUCUCUUCUACCAGUGUCCUGAUCACAAUGGCCACACCUUGGGCUACAAUAAAUCAUCAGCAAAGUGUGUUGGCAUUAUGUAUCCCAGAAAGUUUUGCUCAGACUUUCAAUGCCAGGGUAUGUUUUUUAUGUCUGAUAUGGAUCAAUUAUAUUGCAAGUACUGUAUUACACCCUCGUAUUAUGAAGGUUAUGUGAAAUAUGACAGAUGUUUGUUUAUUCAUUUGUUAUGCAUGGCUGUGUCUACUAUCUAGUUGUUGGCUUGUUGCCAACAUAUGCAGCAGCAGGUAGCUUCAGCCGCUCAGAAGCCCAAAUGAAGAAUGGUCCAGGCAGAAUAGCUAGUCUAGACCCAGAAAGCUUAGGACAUGUCUUGCCAGCCUGCAGUUUUGUACUCGUAGCACCAACCAUCUCCGGGUUCUGGCCGGUUAUAUACAUGGUCUGGAAUGGGCAUCCGCUGAUCGAUUGAAACCUUGAACUGCUUCCGUGUUUGUCUUUUACCAUCUAUAUAGUAUGGUUAGUCAACGGCAUGCAAUACACCCAUGCAUAUGAUUGCAGUAGGAUGACAUGGCGUGACCAGAACCCUUCUUUUGCCAGUUUUUUAUUCUUAUACACGGCCAACAACAGGGAGUUGCCGAUUGCAAUACACCCAUGCUACUAACGCAGCAGGGAGUUGCAUGCUAAGCAGUUCAGCGUAGGUGGUGAGUUCUCAACUCUGAUAUGGUUUAUGGAAGAACACUGUCACGGUGUCACCUAGCCGGUUGGAGGCCAACCUCUUACUAGGGACAGCAAUGGCCCUGUCCACUGUUUCGUGGCUGGUAUUAUUACCCCUAUGCAGUGAAUAUGACAUGUGGAUCUAUGUGUAUAUUAUGUCGCCAGAAGAACAUUAUAUGAACCGUUGAGCCACCUUUGAUUCUAUUAAUGUGUCAUGGUCAAUUGAUGUCAAACUCUAUUAUCUUCAAGUCUUAUUGUAUUGAUAAAAUCACGAUGCUGCUACUGCCAUUUUGAUGUUUAUAAAAGGGUAUUGAGAACCUGGUGGGUAUCCAUUCGAUGCGCAGGGGUGAGGGUGGGGAAAAAUGAGUGUAAAGGACAGGGAUACAGUAUUUAGAAAGAUGGGGCUGCCACAGAAGAUAGUCUCCAAGUACGGCAGGGAAGAAUCUAAAAACUGAUUCCUUGAUCAAGACUGUCCCGUAUUCAUAAAUAGUUCACUGACAGAUCUUGCUUCCAUAUUCUGAACAGCUGAUGCUGGGUACAUAGGAGGUUAACCGGUCAGCGGAUCGAAGGAAAAAAAAAUCUUGCCUGUCAGUGUCCACAAUGGCCUCAUCUUGGGUUAGAGACAAUCAUCCCUAAAGAAUCAUAUUGCCGGAUAAGGUUAUCAGUGAUUGGUAGGUGCAGAUCCAUGCUCAUCCUAGAAACAAGCCAGGGCUGAAUGCGCCACUCAUUUUAGGUGCUUGGAUGUUGUGACCGAAAUGAUCGUGUGUUUAAUGGAGUUUCCCAUAGUGACUAGCGUACAGGCUGUCCUCGUAUUCGAGAAAAAAAAUAAUGGGCGAAAUGUUUUCACCCAGGUAAUUGUUGCAUUGUAUGAAUAGGCUUAGUGGUUGGUGGGUGCAGAGUAUGAAUGUGCUUGUACUGUGACACAAGAAGAUUUAUCAUAUCUAUGUAUGAAUUAGUAUUAAAUCUGCUACAUAAAUAUCUUCUCUUAUCUCAUUGUAUGUGUAUAUAUGACACAGAAGCACAUGUAUAUCAGCAUUGUAGAGAGAGAUGAGAGAGAAGCUUAUCUGCUUUUUGGAGAUAAAUAUUCAAAUUGUGGUGUAUGAGAAGGAUAGAAUUAUUCUAUCAAAUUGUUUAUUCAACAUCUAAAAAGAUUCCAUGUUUAGUCAUCUAUAUCGGCAUUGUAGAGAGAGACUAGUGUUCAACUGGUUGGAAGGAUGAGAGAGAGAGGAGAGAGAGAGGAUGAAUAGUGUUCAGCUGGUUGGAAGGAUGAGAGAGAGAGAGGAGAGUUUCGAUGAUAGAGAGAUUAGUGUUCACCUGGUUGGAAGGAUGAGAGGGAGAUGAGAGAGUUCGGAUGAGGAGGUGGAGAGUUCGGAAGAGAGAGAGGUGAGAGUUCGGAUGAGAGAGAAACAGCUUAGAAGGAUGAGAGAGAGAAAGUGAUAUUUAGCUGGAUGGUGGAGACUUCAUAUAUUACUAACUAGCAAGGUGUCCGUGCGUUGCUACGGUGAAACGACGUUGCUUAGCACGCGAUGUUUUUUAUCGUGUCGUGUAGCGCACCAUAUUUUUUAUCGUGUUGUGUAACUUUUUUAUUUUAGUAGUAUUAGACUUUUCAUAUAUAAAGGGUCACGUGAGUGUGUCCAUAUCCCAACCGUGCGGAAACCGCUUGCCAUCGAACUUGUUAUCUCUUUCUCUAUCUUGAGAUUGGUAUGCUUCUACAGCAAUUCUGCACAAAGAAGGCCCCACUUCGCCCCGUUCCCGCCGUCCGGUUAGUCCCACGCCUACCCUCUCCCUCUCUGAUCCUCGCUGUCGGCUCCUCGAGGUCCAGGUCGGGCUUGUGAUGUAGCGGCCUGUUAUCCUUCCACCAUUGGAAGCGGGUAGUGAUCGCUGCUCUGUGAACCCUGCCUCACGCCGUUCCUACCACUCCAGGUCCAGUGAAGCCUGAGCUUUCGCUUGGACAAACAGCCACUACCAACUUGGAACGGGCAGGGCCAGCAAGGGCAUACAAUGGACCCAAGCCCUCCGCACCCAAACAUCCACACCACUUUAAUGCCUCCACUUGGGUUACAAGCCCGCGCAACCAAGCUCGGUGAGGAUGACUCGUGAGGAUGAACAUUUAAGUUGGUGUGGCGCUGCUUCAGAUGGCGAGGUGGUACUAAUCUAAGGAAUAGGAAAAUUUCACAUGGGUCCCACACCGCACCCAGCCCUAUCCUUAUCCUUUCUCAUCUCUCUAUCGUCCGUCCGGUCCUUAUCCUCUUCAUCUCAUCUCUCUCUCUCUCCCUAUCUCUCUCUCAAACUCUCUAUCUCGCCUACCCCCUCUUUCUCUGGAGAAGGCGGUGCACGGCUGGCCCCAGUGAUGGCCUGGGGGCGCGGGGUGCCAAUAGCGGCCGAGGGUUGUAGGGCUGCGGCGAGGAGCCUCCCAGCCGUGGAUGCGACGGCCUAGCCAUGGGCACCGGGCAGGCGGCUCUGGCACGACCGGCUGGGGCGGGCAGGGAGAGGCGAACAGCAGUGCUACGACGUCACGAAGAGGCGGACGUCGGGCAUGGGCGGGUGAAAGGGGAGACGGGGAAAGAAAGCUAGACCCACCUAUCAAUGCGUUAAUCUUACCUAUUAUUAAACAUCAGGGCCACCUCUCGUUGAUAGAAGUUGGACCAAACAAGAAAAAGUGGGCAGAAGUGUUCCUCACUUUAAUAAUAAUAAUAAUAAAGUAUAGAUAAUGCAUCCAAACAACAUUCGAAAUUUAAUUUUAAAAAAAACUUUCUCGGUACAUCCAAACAAGAAAAUUCAAUUGAAUUAAAUUCUACUAAAUCCAUUUCUUAUGGAAUCUAAUAGCUAGAAUAUGAUUCAUGGGAUGAGUUUCAACUCUAGGGAUCUAAACAUGCCCUUAGUUAUUUCUUAUGUAGCUCAAAUCAGAUGCAAGGUAUGUCCUAACUAAAAAACGUAAGUUACUUUGUGUUAUCUCGUGAAUCAGUGAUUAAUUACUUCCGAUCACUAGUAGAGAAUUGGCUUUCGAUGCGCCCCCUUUUGUCCCGGUUUAAAGUUGGCCCGGGACAAAAGGUUCACCAACCGAGACUAAAGCUCGGUCACUGGUGGGGGGCUCACCAACCAGGACCUUUUAUCCCGGUUGGAAAGGCUAGUGGGAAAAAAAGAUCAUGAGAGGCUUUUUAUCCCGGUUUGAAACACCAACCGGGAUAAAAGACCCAUCUAACUAUAUAGGGGAUGUUACCAACCAGGAUAAAAAGGGUCGAGAGCCUUUUAUCCCGGUUUGUAAUACCAACUGGGAUAAAAGGGGGUCAUUUAUCCCGGUUGGUGUUUCAAACCGGGAUAAAAGGGUCCCAACGAGGUGACUGAAACAUGACUAAAUCCUGAACCCUUUUAUCCCGGUUUGUAAUACCAACCGGGAUAAAAGGGGGUCUUUUAUCCCGGUUGGUGUUUCCAACCGGGAUAAAAGGGUCCCCCACAAGUUAAUACAAAACGAUAACAUCCCCUAUAUAGUUAGAUGUGGUGUGUAGGUGGGAUGGCAAGGAAGCUACGCGCGAGGCUGGAGGUUGUGGGUUCGAAUCCCAUGCAGCGCGCACGCGCAUAUUUCGCGUGGAAAAUCGCGUGACUUGCGACGCGCGUGUGGGGGGCCUCCUGGGAGCUCGGAAUUUCUUUUUUUUGUUUUAUCCCGGAUGGAUUUUCGGAAGAUUUGCACCCUACCAAUCGGGACUAAAGGUCAAUUCUCUACUAGUGAAUCUUAUGUAAAAAGAACUACGAGUUAAAUUCUUUGUCAGAUUUAUACUGACAAGUUACAAGCACAUGCCUCUGCAGUAACAGGCCAGCCCUAGACUAGCGGGCAAACAAAAACAACAUGAUUCGUCAACUGAUCGAAUGUUAAUGACUAUUUUGCUAGGAGAAUGAACAUGAUUCAUAAAAAAAGGGGAGCUACUAACUUGGUCAAGGUCUCCGUCCUCUAGCGUGGCGAAGGGGCCAUCUUGCUCCACUCCACGUCUGCGUGGUUGCUAGGUGGGCGCGACGGCGGCUGCGGAGUGCGGACGGGCGCGUAGAUGUGUCAUUGUUGAUCAGGACAUGCGCUUCUAUCACCGUCUGUGGUUGGCGUCCGCGGCCGAGCGGGUCAAGGUCUCCGUCCUCUAGCGUGGGGAAACAGGAUCUCUUCAAUCAGUGCUUCUACAGAAACGGUGCACGGUCACCACGGACCAACGACAUACCAUGAGAAAAGCGGAGCUAAAUGUUGCAGUAGCAGAGUAACCGGAGACUGGAGAGCACUUGCUGCUAAAAGCUGCCUCUUAUUUUGUAUCGUCUUUAACAGAAGACUUUAAGUCAACCGCCAUUCGAUUCCAAUAUAAACUAGCAAGUUGGCCCGCGAUGAUAGCACGGCUAGAUUUGAUACAAUAUAACUUUUUUAAAUGCUAUGUUAGCUUAGUAUAUUUCUUCGUCCCUCUUGAUUUGUUUUUCAUCCUCUUGAAAUCACUUAGUAUACUUAGGUGCCUUACUCUACACAUUGAGUAUCAAGCCAUAUGUGUAUAUUUGUUUUUUUUUGCAAAUGAACUCCGAUGCCACAUGUGCAUAUGCACGCCUAAUUAAAAUUGCUCACUUGUAACAAAAUAACAAGAGUAGUUGAUUCUGAUCUUAUGUUGCAGUUUUUGCCAACUUUUCCUAGUAUUAUUGUGUUGAGUAGAAAGCCUGUGUAGAAAAAGAUACAAAACAAACAAUCGUGUUAACUACUCCCCAUACUUGCUCAAAUGAUUUUGAAAAAUAAAAACAACCGCGCUCUAAGUCCUAGGUGGUGAUAUUCCUCCUUACUUUCCUCCUCUCGUUUUCCUUGCACAAUCGAGGAUGACAAAUACCACAAACCACUUAGGCUCGAUCAUGUUUCAUCAUCACAUUCCUCAAAUCUUGAUCACGUUGUUGUCUUCAUUAUGCUAGCAGUACACAUCUCUCCGCCUCUUCUCACUGGUAGAGAAUUGGCCUUUAGUCCCGGUUGAUAGGGUGCAUAUCUCUCGGAUAUCCAUCCGGGAUAAACCAACCGGGACAAAAGGGAGGGUCUUUAGUCCCGGGUCUUUUAACCGGGAGUAAAGGUCCUCCUUUAUUUCCCAACCGAGACUAAAGGGUUACCCUUUAGUCCCGGCUGGAUUCCAACCAGGAGUCCCGGCUGGAUUCCAACCGGGACUAAAUGGCGCCUGCAUGGCACUGCCGUGGCGCCUGAAUUUUUCAUGCAUGCAUCACGUACGUAGUACCGCGACCCUUUUAAUUUGUUAAACUUUAGUAGUUGAGAUUUUUUUAGAACGAAAUCAACUAGUAUUUAAACGAAUGGGAUUUGUAAUUAUACAAUUACUAUAUAUGUACACAAUCCUUAUACACAAUUCAUAUACACAAUUCAACUAGCUUAGUACAAAUUGAUCAUAAUUAGCGCGUAUUAUAUAUACAAAUAAAUCAAAGUAUCUGUCUACAAUCUUCCCGUCGUGGUGUUGCUGAUCGGAGUGUCUAAUUGUCGUCCAUCGUAAUAAAAUUCUCCUUUUGGAUUUACCACCUUGUCCAUUAUGAAUCCAAUGAGACUUUCACAUAUUGCCGCUACUCUUUCUUCCUUCAAGAGUCCUUGUUGAAUAUUUAACAUCUAUAAUUUGGAAAUUUUUGAAUGUUACACGAACAAAUACAUAUAAGGAGCUAGAAAAUAAUUAACUAGUAAUAGUUUUAUUUUACGUACUUUAAAGUUGUGCGGCGUCAUCUUCGGUCCCUUGGGUCCCAUAAAACUGUGCAUGUGCUCACAGAUGUAGUAGCCACAUAGAUUAUUUCCGGGUUCCUGUCUUAAGCACUUCAGUGCGGAAAAAAAUAAGUUAUGAAAUAUUCGUAUUAUACAAUGUAAUAAAUGUGCAGACUUCAUACGUACCGGGAAGUCUGUGUUCCAUGUAAGUUUUUCUUUGAAUGGACCUUUGUGUGUCCUUAUGAAUUGUUUCCAUGCGCUGCAGAUUAGAAUAAUGAAUGAUAUAGUGUAACAGGAAUAAAAUUUAGGAAAUAAACUUUUGCAUAUAGAUAAAGGUACAGAAUUAUUACAAGCCUAGCAUGUCUUGCACUUCUUGGUAGUCCACCGGAUCUUUCCUUAACGAAUCGAAGACAGUGACGUGGCUUCUUUCAGGCUCAAUUAUAAUAAGAAUCCAGUGGAAGCUGCGUGCGUAAAAUGUUCAUGCAUAUUAGAGCUAACUAACAUGUAGAGAUAAGGAAAAAGACAUCGAAAGUAGACGGUAUACACACACUUACUUGAAGUUGUAUGGAAGUAGUAUGAAAUCCUUGAAUGUUUGUUUGUCUAGGAAAUUGUAUAUUUCCGCAAAGGUUUUUUCCGGUGCUAAUUGUGUCUGUUGUUGGUUAACUACAGAUGGAUCCAUGAAGCCUACAUGUAGGUACGCCUCUCGGCGGCAUGUCUGAAUUAGCAUCCUACAUGAAAUGGAAGAUGAAGUUAGUACGGUGACGCAUGCCAAAAUUUACAUGUAGAGAUAAACGGACACUUACAGAACCUAAGCGCUGAUCAGAGAGACGUCCAGGGCAUCAUGAUGGUACACUUCGUAUAUAUCCUUGAAGUCUAGCCACAGCACUUUCUCCCCUUCACCGUGAAAAUCUAUCGGUUUUACCUUCAUGCCGAUCAUCUCCCUCGAGUCGGCGGAUGCCAUCAUGUACCAUUGAUGGAAUGCGUACAUCUUUGUUGAUAGCUUCCGUACCAAUGAAGGCUUUACUAGAGGUUUGCCUAGCUCAUAAGGCCAUCUCAGCUCAGGGGGCGGUGCAGUUGGCGUCUCAACUUGCCCUAUGCAUUCAUCAAGUCCCAGACCUGUUUCUUCCAUGAACUUCAAUACAUUUGCUUGUUGAUCCAAGGGCAUUGCUUUUACCCGUUGAGCAUCUUUUUUUGAUAAAUGGCUGAGGUCGGGGACUGGACCGCUGGAAGAUGACUUUCCUUUCCUUUUAUCCUUUUCAUCAGCCUUUACUAGAGCCCGUUCAUAGUUUGACAAGAGUGGUAUCCUUUUCUUGGCUCCUUCUUCUAUCCUGAUAAAAAAGUUUAAAUCUCGCCGACUUACUGGCGGUGGCUCCAUCUCCCUUACUUUUUUUUCUUCGGCUUGUUUCUUGAACCACUCACUGGCCUCUCGUUGGAUUUCUGCCCACUGUUCCGCAUGAGACAUUGCCUCCCAGCGUUCCUUACGAGUCACUUCAGGCUCCUUUGUUUUCUUCUUUCUCUGUCUUUGCUUGGGAGGCGGUGCUCGUGACUUCUUUAGUGGUGGUGCAGGUUCCUUCAAGGGGGCCGCUCUUGGUGCCGGCGACGGUGAUCGGGGAGGGGUGUUGUUAUUGUCGUCGUCGCUCCCAGCACCAGGAUGUAGUGGAGAUGGAGACCUUGAUAUAGAUGGAAGGGACGGUCCUGGAGCAGGAGAUGACGGUCUCGAGGUAUGAGGAGAAGGUCGCUGCUGGGGAUCUACGGGGAGCGGUCUUAAGGUCUGAGGAGAUGGCUCCGUGCUGGGAAUAAUGAUGUAGCGUUUUUGCCAUAGAAUAAUCCCAUGAAGCGCAUCUGCCAAUGUCUUUUCCCCGUCGCCUCCCGGGAAGUCGAGCUCUAGACCUUCAUACUAGGGAUCAACUAUUUGCUCUACGCAGACGCUGGCGUAGCCUGUUGGAAUUUCCAUGCCAUGACUGCUCUGCCCCGCCAGGGUUGCUAACGCACUCCCGUACGCUACCUGUACAUAUAGCAGAAGUAAACAAGUUGAACUCCGAUCUCGAGGCCUGGAUCAAUUGACAAGAUUGCAUAAAUAUUAUGUAUAAGUAUACCUUAAUAGUGAGGUUGCCGACCGGUGCAUGCAGCUCACAUGAGGUCCGUUGUGUGAUGGCAUCCACGGGGAACCGUUGCUCCUCCACGGGUAACCUGGGCGUCUGCGCAUCGGGGACCCCUGUAGAAGCACAACUGCUCAAGAGGCGUUGAGAAGGGCUGGCGGUGUUAGGAAUCGGCAAUGCUCCAGAUUGGGCCAACUCCGCAACUGCGUGGGCCACCCGCCGAUUGGUUUCAUCCAUCAUUCUUUGUUCUUGUGCCUGCACUUUAGAUUCUAGCAUCUGCCGCCAGCUCUCCUCGAUCUGUUCCUUUCUUCGCUUCCGGCUUCUGUACGAGGUGCUGUCGCCUCGGAAAGCAAACUUCCACGGAACCACCCCGAACCCUCGGCAACGUCCUGGGUGUUCUGGAUUACCGAGGGCCAAUGUGAGCUCAUCAUUUUCUCGGUCCACCUUCAACCUCCCAGCCUUAGAAUCUUCAAUGUUCUUCAUGAGAUGUUCGGCCUUCUCACGUAUUGUGUCAUUAAAAAUCAACGUCCCAUCCUCUUGGCUUAGGGAGCCUCCAUGAGCGUAGUACCAAUUUUUUGAUCGUUCGGGCCAUUCAAUAGUUGCAGGUACGAUUCCCCGUUCGAUCAGAUCUUGUUCCAUCUUCCUCCACUUGGGAAUUGCUGAGCCAUACCCACCUCGCCCCAAAUGAUGGUGGUAGCCCUUCUGACUAGCAUUUGCUGUGUUGGUCGUGAUCUUUUUCACACCGUCUUCACUCCUCUUAUAUUCAACAAAUGCAUCCCAGUGGUCCCUCAACUUUGGCCACGCGUUGAAGUCUAGAGUUCGGCCCUUCUUGAUGUAGUGGGUAUCCAGCAUCUUCUUGAAUGUCUGGAAUUGAGUAGCCAUCUUCUUAAGCGUCCACGCUUUGACAUCCUUCUCACUAUAUCCUUCGGGGAAUGUGAAAUGUCUCUUCACGUCUUCCCACAGCAUAUUCUUUUCUGUCUCCGGAAGGGCGUACGGAUUAGUGCUUCUGCCCUUCCAUUCUCUGAUGCUGAUAGGCACGUUGUCCCGGACGAUUGCCCCGAUCUGACUCACGUACUUCUUUGCUACUUUCUCGGGAGCAACCGGCCUGCCCUCUUCUGUCACUUCCGUGAUGACAAGCCUCCCUUCCAUCACCUUUGUACAACCUUGGGUCUUCUGCCCUUGUGUCGAUCCGGAGGGCUAACAUUUUAAGAUUCGUUAAUUAGUACGUAGUAGUAACAGUGGCGUGAAACAAUACAAGAAUGGUUAUAUAUACCUCGCCGGAACCUUCCGCCACGGCAAGUUGUUGCUGCGGCUAAUGCUCUUCAUUCCCAUCGGUGGACAUGUUGAGGAACAUGUCCGCCUGGGUGCCCUCUUCAUCCGUGUAUGAUAGUGGAACGUUCUCGCCACUACCAUCACCAGCGAUUAUCUGCUCCAUGAUAUACCUUGCGGUCUCAUUGUCUGCCAUUUCAACUAUUGAUGGAAACAUACAUGGAAUCAUACAUGACAGUCAUAGAAAUCGUCUUACUACAAAUUUCUACAAAGUCCUACAAAGUCCGGAAUCAUACAUGUAUAUAAUGAAAUCAUAAAAUAACAUGAAUCCUACAAAGUCCGGAAUAUUUCUACGAAUUUCUACGAAUUUCUACGAAUUUCUACGUUCUAUGAAUUUCUACGAAUUUCUACGAAUAUCCACAUGCGGUGCCUAGGUUGUGACGGCGGCGAUCAGGGCGGCGGAGGCGGGGACGGUUCCCUGGAACCACGGGCGGUGCCUAGGUUGUGACGGCGGCGGUCAGGGCGGCGGUACGGCGGAGGCGGGGACGGUUCCCCGGAACCACGGGCGGUGCCUACUAGGUUGUGACGGCGGCGAUCACGGCGGCGGGACGGCGGAGGGGACACAUAUACAAAAAUAUAACUUAAAAAAAAUCUAACUUAAAAAAAAAUCUAACUUAAAAAUCUAACUUAAAAAUCUAACUUAACAAUCUAACUAAAAAAUCUAACUUAAAAAUAUAACUUAAUUUUCUAACUUAACAAUCAAAAUUAAAAAUCUAUCAUAAAAAUAUAACUUAAUUUUCUAACUUAAAAAAAAAGCCCUCCCAAUGCUGCCGGCCGGCGCGGCGGCGGACCUCUCGCGCGCGGUCGUCGACGGUGGCCGGGGCGACGAGGGGGCCGGGCGGCGGGACGGCGGCGGCCGGUGCGGCGAGGACGGCGGCCGAGGCGACGACGACGGCGGCGGCGUAGGCGGGACGGCGGCGGCGUAGGCGGGACGGCGACGAGGGGCGACGAGGCGGUGACGAGGAUGGAGGCGGUGACGAGGAUGGAGCCGGCGACGAGGAUGGAGCCGGUGGCCGGAGGCGACGAGGUGGGGGCCGGGCGCGUCGACGGACGAGGAGGAUCGAGGCGGGCCGGCCGGGGGGAUGGAGGACGACGAUGUCUGGGCGCGAUCGGCGGCAGGACGACGACAAACGGCGCAAUGGGGGAUGACGACGGCGGCGGCCGGCGAGGGAGGCGGACGGGCGGCGACGGCGGAGCAGAACGCGUGGAACUUGGCGAAAAUUUUGCUAAGUGUAACUGGCGGGGGGUAGAAGGGAGUACAGUGCCUUUUAAACCCCCCCCUUAUCCCGGUUCGUAAUGGUACCCGGGACAAAAGGGUGCCCCCGCCAGGUGGGGCUGGGAGCGUACCCUUUUAUCCCGGGUGCCACCACCAACCGGGAUAAAAGGGGGGGGGCCUUUUAUCCCGGUUGCAGUUGGCAACCGGGAUAAAAGGGUACGUCCGGGCGGGAGACGAAAAGUACCCUUUUAUCCCGGUUGCCGUUUGCAACCGGGAUAAGCAACCGGGAUAAAAGGGGGCCUUUUGUCCCGGUUGCUGUUAGCACCCGAGACAAAAGGUCUUUUUUCCUAGUUUUCUUCUCCCGCCUGUUUUUUGAAAUGGAUUUUAUUUUAUCUUUUCACUACAUUUCAGGAUGAAAAACAAAACCUUCACAGAUUUUGUACAUGCAAAAAUAUAUUUAAUUAACAAGUAAAUUGACAAUAAGUAUGAAUUAAUCAUUAAUUCUAUACCAGUUCAUUUAGCCUCUAAAAUAUUUAUUUUACUGCGUUGCUGUGAUUAAGAAAUUAUUCAAUUAAAUAAUUUCAAUGCGUAGAAAAAUCCAUGUUUGUAUGUGGUUAACAUUGUUCAUGUUUAUCUAAAAAAUCUUCACCUAACAAAUUUAAGAACACAUGAAAUCAUACAUAGGGUAAAAUUACAAAUUGUAUCGAUUAAUACACAAAGGUCAUGUACAUUUAACGCAUUACAAUACAACGUUGUAAAAUUUCUUCUUCACGAAAGUUCCUUGAUCAUGAUCGCGACGUAAGUACGGAGCCUCUUCUUUGGAUAGCAGGAUGCUUGGAUCAACUUCAACAGCGAAUGGAGGCAUGCCAUCAAACUGAUCAUAAUCAUCUGAUUGGUCUGUUUUAUCCUCGACUCCCACGAUUUUUCUUUUACCUGGAAGAACUAUGUGGCACUUUGGCUCCCAUGUCUCUUCUGGAUUCCUCUUGGGUUUGCUGCACAUGUCCUUCACAUAGAACACCUGAUCCACAUCAUUGGCAAGUACGAAUGGGUCAUCACUGUAUCCAGUCUUGCUCAGAUCUACUAUUGUCAUUCCAUACUGAUCUUUGGUGACGGUAGUUAGCUUCACCCAAUUGCAAAGAAAUAGAGGGAUGUACAGCGGUCCGUAUUCGAGUUCCCAUAUCUCCUGUAUGAAACCAUAAUACGACUCCUUGCUAUUAUUUCUGUCCAUGGCAUCUAUGCGGACACCACUAUUCUGGUUUGUGCUUUUCUGGUCCUGGGCUCUCGUGUAAAAUGUGUAACCAUUUAUCUCAUAGCCUUGGAAUUUGACGAUUGUGCUAGCAGGUCCCCUGGCUAACUAGGCAAGCUGUGGGUGAAUCUCAGAGUUAUCCAUAAGUUGUUGGCGCAACCAGGAGGGAAAAGUUUCCAUGUGAUGACGGGUAAGCCAAGCAUCGGAUUUGGUCGGGUUUUUUGAAGCUACUAUCUGUCUGUGCUGCUCGAUAUACGGAGACACAAAGGAUGACUGUUGUAGAACAGUGUAGUGUGCCUUGUCGAACAAAUCAGUAUCAUUGCUCAAACUUGAUUUCCUUCCAAGGGUGCCCAUUCCUCGGAGCCUCCCCUCGUGGCGUGAAGUUGGAACCCCAAUCGAGUCAAUUGAAUCAAUAAAAUCAACACAAAACUCGAUCACCUCCUCUGUUCCAUAUCCCUUGGCGAUGCUGCCUUCUGGACGGGCACGAUUAAGAACAUAGUUUUUUAGGACUGCUAUGAACCUCUCGAAAGGCCACAUAUUGUGCAGGUAUACAGGUCCGAGAAUACCAAUCUCUUUUACUAGGUGAACCAGUAAGUGCGUCAUAAUAUUGAAGAAGGAUGGUGGAAAUAACAACUCAAAACUGACAAGACAUUGCACCACAUCGUUCUGUAGCUUUGAUAGCUUGGAUGGAUCGAUUGCCUUCUGCGAAAUCGCAUUGAGAAACGCGCAUAGCUUUACGAGCGGCAACCGGACAUUUUCUGGUAGAACACCCCUCAAUGCAACCGGAAGCAACUGGGUCAUCAACAUGUGGCAGUCAUGAGCCUUGAGAUUUGUUAACUUAUUUUGUUUCAUAUUUAUUAUUCCAUUUAUAUUCGAGGAGUACCCAGACGGGACCUUCAUACUAUUCAAGCAUUCAAACAUGCUAUCCUUCUCUUCCUUGCUGAGAGUGUAACUGGCAGGACGUAAGUAGUGCUGUCCAUUAUCUCUCUUUUCCGGAUUUAGGUCAUCUUGUUGCCCCAUGGCUUUCAGGUCCUGUCGUGCUUCCAAUAUAUCUUUUGAGGUUACAUAAACACCCAUGAAGCCUAGCACGUUCACGCAAAGAUUCUUCGUCAGGUGCAUCACGUCUAUUGCGUUGCGAACCUCUAGGAUUUCCCAAUAAGGUAGCUCCCAAAAUAUUGACUUUUUCUUCCACAUGGGUGCAUGUCCGUUAUCGUCGUUCGGAACAGGUUGGCUACCAAGUCCCUUUCCAAAGACUACAUUUACAUCCUUCAUCAUCUCGAACACACGCUUUCCAUUACGGUGUGCAGGUUUUUUACGAUGGUCUGGCGCCCCUUUGAAAUGCAUCCCGCUCUUUCUCAGCUGGUGGUGAGCAGGGAGAAAUCGACGAUGACCCAUAUAGACGACCUUCUUACAGUGCUUCAAGUACAUGCUGUCUGUGUCAUCUAAACAGUGGGUGCAUGCCCGAUAUCCCUUAUUUGUCUGUUCUGAAAGGUUACUCAAUGCAGGCCAAUCGUUGAUGGUUACGAACAACAAUGCUCGUAGAUUAAAGAUCUCUUGUCUAUCCUCAUCCCACACACGUACACCUUCUUCCUUCCAGAGCUGUAAAAGGUCAUCAACCAACGACCUUAGGUACAAGUCAAUGUCAUUGCCGGGUUGUUUUGGGCCUUGGAUAAGCGCCGGCAUCAUAAUGAACUUCCGCUUCAUGCACAGCCAAGGAGGAAGGUUGAACAUACAAAGGGUCACAGGCCAAGUACUAUGGCCACUACUCAACUCACCGAAUGGAUUGAAUCCAUCAGUGCUUAAACCAAACCUUAUGUUCCUUGCUUCACUUUCAAAGUCUGGGAAUGUUCUAUCAAUUGAUCUCCACUGUGCCCCAUCUGCGGGGUGUCUCAGCAUCUCAUCUUCCUUACGGUCUUCUUUGUGCCAUCGCAUCAACUUAGCAUUCGCCUUGUUCCUGAAUAAGCGCUUCAAGCGUGGUAUUAUAGGGAAAUACCACAUCACCUUCGCGGGAACUCUCUUCUUGGGAGACUGCCCCUCGACAUCACCAGGAUCAUCUCGCCUGAUCUUAUACCGCAGGGCUUCGCAGACGGGACAAGCAUCCAAUUUCUCGUAUUCAUCACCACGAUAGAGGAUACAAUCAUUAGGGCAUGCGUGUAUCUUCUGAACAUCCAAUCCGAGAGGGCAAAUAAUCUGUUUAGCUUCAUAUGUUGUGGACGGUAAUUCAUUAUUCUCGGGGAGAAUCUUCUUGACAAUGUUCAACAUCCCCUGAAAUGCCUUAUCGGACACACUAUUUUUUGUCUUCCAUUGCACAAAUUCUAGUGUCGUACCUAGUUUUUUAUGGCCCUGCUGGCAACCUGGGUACAACAAUUUUUGGUGAUCAUCUAUCAUGCGCUGCAACUUUGCUACUUCCUUCUCAGUUUUGCAAUCUCUGUAUGCAUCUCGUAUCACCUGACGAAGGUCAUCAGUAGGGCCAUUUUCUGCAAACUCAUCUUCAUCAGCCUCGCCCAUUGUAGUACCUACAAAAGCUUGGCCUGCAACCCAGUCCGGAAUGGUGUCAUCUUCCUCCUCCUCCUCGCCAUCUUCCAUUACAACCCCUAGUUCACCGUGCUUGGUCCAAACCAAAUAGUUAGGCAUGAAACCGUAUUUAAACAAGUGGCUGUGAAUAGUCCCCCAGCUUUCCUUUGAAUACUCCUUCCUGUUAUUGCAUUGGAAGCAUGGACACAUACGAACCUAUUCUCUGGCUUGUUCGCUUUUGCCAUUUCGAGAAAAUAUGCAAGCCAUCAAUAAACGUCUUGCUCCGCCUGUCUGCNNNNNNNNNNNNNNNNNNNNNNNNNNNNNNNNNNNNNNNNNNNNNNNNNNNNNNNNNNNNNNNNNNNNNNNNNNNNNNNNNNNNNNNNNNNNNNNNNNNNAACAUAUUGAAGGAGAAGGACAUACCUCCUUCUCGUCGGUAAAUCACGCGGGUUAGCCUCUGAGCCAGGUAUAUUGUCCAGUCGAUGCAGAAGGGAUCACAGUUGUUACCUAAGUCUAGUUUAGCCGCGGAGCUCAGCUUCAACCCGGAUUAAAGGUGAACCACCUUUUAUCCCGGUUGGAGCCUCCAACUGGGAUAAAAGGGUCCCGCCACCAACAGCUCCCCACUAGCCGUUGCAACCGGGACUAAAGGGGGGCCUUUAGUCCCGGUUGCAAUUACCAACCGGGAGUAAAUCUUCCCUCCAUUUUUGCCUACCGUGGCGCACCCCCUUUUGUCCCGGGCCAACUUUAAACCGGGACAAAAGGGGACGGAUCGAAAACCAAUUCUCUACUAGUGUCUAUUCCACAAAACCAUAAUUGUUCACCGGCUCCAGCAUUGCUGUUGCUCUCCACCAAUGGAGGAAGCUCUUGUCCUUGGCACCACCUUAUCCACUGACCAGCUGAAGUUAUCUGUACGUCCUAAGGUCUCAUAAGAUUUUUGAUGAAUUUGCAUUAAUACUAAUAUUGCCACCAAUCUAGUCUCAACCUUGCCUCGUGUUCUCCGUGGUCAUGUUUUAUUCUAACUUGCAAGCCCUACAACUACAUAUGAUGGUUCUUCUAUAUGCAUAAUAUAUCGCAUCUCCUAAGACAUAUCGCGGGCCGGCGGCGCGCGGGGGAGCGGUGCCAGCAGAGCGGAGGCGACCGGCGGUGGGCAGAGGUGGGUGGGUGCGGGUGCGGGCGAAGGCGGAGGAGCAUGUGGGCAGAGGCGGGUGGGCGUGGGCGGAGGCGGAGGCGGAGGCUGGCGUGGGCGUGUGCGGAGGCGGAUGGGUGGAGGCAUGCAGCGGCGGUGGGCAGAGGCGGGCGGGCGCAGGUGAGUGGCAGCUGGGCCAGCGGCGUGGGCGGAGGCGGAGACCGGCAGCGGUCGGGCGGCGCGGGCGGGCGGCCGGCGAGCGUGGCGCUUCUUUUUUUUUCCAAAUUUUUUAGUCCCGGUUAGUGGUUGGUAACACCAACUAGGACUAAAGGGGGCCUUUAGUUCUGGGUGGAUGACCUGGAACUAAAGACCUCCUUUUUUAUCUCGAAAAAUUUAUCUCGGACGGCUUUUAGAGAGAUGUGAGCGUAUCCAAUUGGGACUAAAGGUGAGUUUUCCACCAGUGAAUGCAGAGCAGGCUCAUCCUAAAUGGUGACACCAUGCUGAUCACGCAAUUUAUCAUUAUUUUAUCGACCUCAUCCGUGUUUGUCUUUUACCAUCUAUAUAGUAUGGUUAGUCAACGGCAUGCAGUACACCCAUGCAUAUGAUUGCAGUAGGAUAACAUAGCGCGACCAGAACUGACGCAGUUUGCCAGUUUUAGAUUCGUAUACACGGCCAACUUACGCAGCAGAGAGUUGCAUGCUAAGCAGUUCAGCGUAGGUGGUGAGUUCUCAACUCUGAUAUGGCUUAUGGAAGAACACUGUCACGGUGUCACCUAGCCGGUUGGAGGCCAACCUCUUACUAGGGACAGCAAUGGCCCUGUCCGGCCACUGUUUCGUGGCUGGUAUUAUUACCCCUAUGCAGUGAAUAUGACAUGUGGAUCUAUGUGUAUAUUAUGUCGUCGAAAGAACAUUAUAUGAACCGUUGAGCCACCUUUGAUUCUAUCAAUGUGUCAUGGUCAAUUGAUGUCAAACUCUAUUAUCUUCAAGUCUUAUUGUAUUGAAAAAAUCACGAUGCUCUGCUACUGCCAUUUUGAUGUUUAUAAAAGGGUAUUGAGAACCUGGUGGGUAUCCAUUCGAUGCGCUGGGGUGGGGGUGGGGAAAAAUGAGUGUAAAGGACAGGGAUACAGUAUUUAGAAGGAUGGGGCUGCCACAGAAGAUAGUCUCCAAGUAUGGCAGGGAAGAAUCUAAAACUGAAUCCUUGAUCAAGACUGUCCCAUAUUCAUGAAUAGUUCACUGACAGAUCUUGCUUCCAUAUUCUGAACAGCUGAUGCUGGGCACAUAGGAGGUUAACCGGUCAGCGGAUCGAAGAAAAAAAAAUUCUUGCCUGUCAGUGUCCACAAUGGCCUCAGCUUGGGUUAGAGACAAUCAUCCCUAAAGAAUCAUAUUGCCGGAUAAGGUUAUCUGUGAUUGGUGGGUGCAGAUCCAUACUCAUCCUAGAAACAAGCCAGGGCUGAAUAUGCCACUCAUUUUAGGUGCUUUGAUGUUGUGGUCACACCGAAAUGAUCAUGUGUUUAAUAAAGUUUCCUAUAGUGACUGGCGUGCAGGCUGUCCUCGUAUUCGAGAAAAAAAAUCAAUGGGCGAAAUAUUUUCACCCAGGUAAUUGUUGCAUUGUAUGAAUAGGCUUAGAUACCUGGUUAGAGUAUGAAUGUGCGUGUACCGUGACACAAGAAGAUUUAUCAUAUCCAUGUAUGAAUUAGUGUUAAAUCUGCUACAUAAAUAUCUUCUCUUAUCUCAUUGUAUGUGUAUAUAUGACACAGAAGCACAUGUAUAUUGGCAUUGUAGAGAGAGAUGAGAGAGAGAAGCUUAUCUGCUUUUUGGAGAUAAAUAUUCAAAUUACUGGUGUAUGAGAGGGAUAUAAUUAUUCUAUCAAAUUGUUUAUUCAACAUGUAAAAAGAUUCCAUGUUUAGUCAUCUAUAUCGGCAUUGUAGAGAGAGACUAGUGUUCAGCUGGUUGGAAGGAUGAGAGAGAGAGGAGAGAGUUCGGAUGAGAGAGAGACUAGUGUUCAGCUGGUUGGAAGGAUGAGAGAGAGGAGAGUUUGGAUGAUAGAGAGAUUAGUGUUCACCUGGUUGGAAGGAUGAGAGGGAGAUGAGAGAGUUCGGAUGACGAGGUGGAGAGUUCGGAAGAGAGAGAGGUGAGAGUUCGGAUGAGAGAGAAAGCAGCUUAGAAGGAUGAGAGAGAAAGUGGUAUUCAGCUGGAUGGUGGAGACUUCAUAUAUUACUAACUAGCAAGGUGUCCGUGCGUUGCUAUGGUGAAACGACGUUGCUUAGCGCGCGAUGCUUUUUAUCAUGUCGUGUAGCAUACCACAUUUUUUAUCGUGCUGUGGAACUUUUCUAUUUUAGUAGUAUUAGACUUUUCAUAUAUAAGGGGCCACAUGAGUGUGUCCAUAUCCUAACCGUGAGGAGACCGCUUGCCAUGGAACUUGUUAUCUCUUUCUCUAUCUUGAGAUUGGUAGGCUUCUACAGCAAUUCUGCACAAAAAAGGCCCCACUUCGCCCCACUUCGCCUCGCUCUCGCUGUCCGGUUAGUCCCGCGCCUACCCUCUCCCUCUCCGAUCCUCGCCGCUAGCUCCUCGGGGUCCAAGUCGGGCCCGUGAUGUAGCGGCCUGUUAUCCUUCCACCGUUGGAAGCGGGCAGUGAUCGCUGCUCUGUGAACCCAGCCUCACGCCAUUCCUACCACUUCAGGUCCAGUGAAGCCCGAGCUUUUGCUUGGGCCGAACAGGCCACUACCAACUUGGAGCAGGCAAGGCCAGCAAGGGCACACAAUAGACCCAAGCCCAGAGUCCACACCCAAACAUCCACACCACCUUAAUACCCCCACUUGGGUUACAAGCCCGCGCAACCAAGCUCGAUGAGGAUGGCUCGUGAGGACGAACAUUUGAGCUGGUGCGGCGCUGCUUCAGAUGGCGAGGUGGUACUAAUCUAAGGAAUAGGAAAAUUUCACGUGGGUCCCACACCGCACCUACCCCUAUCCUUAUCCUUUCUCAUCUCUCUACCGUUCAUCCGGUCCUUAUCCUCCUCAUCUCAUCUCUCUCUCUCUCUCUCUCUGUCUCUCUCUCCCUCUCUCGCUCUCAAACUCUCUAUCUCUCCUAUCCCCUCUUUCUCUGGAGAACGCGGUGCACGGCUGGCCCCAGCGGCGGCCUGGGGGCGCGGGUGCUGGCGGCAGCCGAGGGUUGCGGGGCUGCGGCGAGGAGCCUCCUGGCCGUGGAUGCGACGGCCUAGCCACGGGUGCCGGGCCGCAUCGCACCGCGCGCUGCUGCCACCGAGUAGGCUGCACGCACUGCCUGCACACCAGGCGGGGUGGGCGGCCAGGGCCGAGCGGCGCGGCCGGGGCCGGGGAGGUGACUCUGGCGCGGCCGAGGCGGCUUGGGCGCGGCCAGCUGUUGUGGGUAGGGAGAGGUGGACAGCGGCGCAUGGCGGUGUGGAGAGGCGGACGUGGGGCACGAACGGGUGAAAGGGGAGACGGGGAAAGAAAGCUGGACCCACCUAGCAAUGCAGCCGGGGCCGGGGCCAGGGUAGCGCGGGUGGCCGAGGCCGAGGCCGAGGCCAGGCGGCGCAGUCGGGGCUGGGGAGGCGGCUUUGGUGCAGCCAGCCGUGGCGGGCAGGGAGAGGCGGAGAGUGGCGCAACGGCGGCGUGGAGAGGCGGACAUCAGGCACGGGCGGGUGAAAGGGGAGACAGGGAAAGAAAGCUAGACCCACCCGUCAAUGCAUUAAUCUUACCUAUUAUUAAACAUCAGGGCCACCUCUCGUUGAUAGAAGUUGGACCAAACCAAAAAAAGUGGGCAGAAGUGUUCCUUACUUUAAUAAUAAUAAUAAAGUAUAGAUAAUGCAUCCAAACAACAUUUGGAAUUUAAUUCUAAGAAAAACUUUCUCAGUACAUCCAAACUAGAAAAUUCAAUUGAAUAAAAUUCUACGGAAUGCAUUUCUUAUGGAAUCUAAUUGGUAGAAUAUGAUUUAUGGGAUGAGUUUCAACUCUAGGGAUCCAAAUAGGCUCUUAGUUAUUUCUUAUGUAGCUCAAAUCAGAAGGAAGGUACGUCCAAACUAAAAAACGUAAGUUACUUUGUGUUAUCUUGUGAAUCAGUGAUUAAUUACUUCCAAUCUUAUGUAAAAAGAACUACGAGUCAAAUUCUUUGUCAGAUUUAUACUGACAAGUUACAAGCACAUGCCUCUGCAGUAACAGGCCAGCCCUAGACUAGUGGGCAAACCAAAAACAACAUGAUUCGUCAACUGAUCGAAUGCUAAUGACUAUUUUGCUAGGAGAAUGAACAUGAUUCAUACAAAGCAGGGGAGCUACUAACUUGGUCAAGGUCUCCGUCCUCUAGCUACUAACAUGAUUCAUACAAAGAAGGGGCCAUCUUGCUCCACUCCACGUCUGCGUGGUUGCUCGGCGGGCGCGACGGUGUCGGCUGCGGAGUGCGGACGGCGCGUAGAUAUGUCAUUGUUGAUCAGGACAUGCACUUCUAUCACAGUCUGUGGUUGGCGUCCACGGCCGAGCGGGUCAAGGUCUCCGUCCUCUAGCGUGGGGAAACAGGAUCUCUUCAAUCAGUGCUUCUACAGAAACGGUGCACGGUCACCACGGACCAACGACAUACCAUGAGAAAAGCAGAGCUAAAUGUUGCAGUAGCAGAGUAACCGGAGACUGGAGAGCACUUGCUGCUAAAAGCUGCCUCUUAUUUUGUAUCGUCUUAACCGAAGACUUUAAGUCAACCGCCAUUCGAUUCCAAUAUAAACUAGCAAGUUGGUCCGCGAUAAUAGCGCGGCUAGAUUUGAUACAGUAUAAUUUUUUUAAAUGCUAUGUUAGCUUAGUAUAUUUCUUUGUCCCUCUUGAUUUGUUUUUCAUCCUCUUGAAAUCACUGAGUAUACUUAGGUGCCUUACUCUACACAUUGAGUAUCAAGCCAUAUAUGUAUAUUUUUUUUUUGCAAAUGAACUCCGAUGCCACAUGCGCAUAUGCACGCCUAAUUAAAAUUGCUCACUUGUAAAAAAAUAAGAACAACUUGAGUAGUUGAUUCUGAUCUUAUGUUGCAGUUUUUGCCAACUUUUCCUAGUAUUAUUGUGUUGAGUAGAAAGCCUGUGUAGAGAAAGAUCCAAAACAAACAAUCGUGUCAACUACUCCCCAUGCUUGCUCAAAUAAUUUUGAAAAAAAAAACAACCGCGCUCUAAGUCCUAGGGAGGUGAUAUUCCUCCUUACUUUCCUCCUCUCGUUUUCCUUGCACAAUCGAGGAUGACAAAUACCACAAACCACUUAGGCUCUAUCAUGUUUCAUCAUCACAUUCCUCAAAUCUUGAUCACGUUGUUGUCUUCAUUAUGUUAACAGUACACAUCUCUCCGCCUCUUCUAUUCCACAAAACCAUAAUUGUUCACCGGCUCCAGCAUUGUUGUUGCUCUCCACCAAUCGAGGAAGCUCAUGUCCUUGACAUCACCUUAUCCACUGACCAGCUGAAGUUAUCUGUACAUCCUAAGGUCUCAUAAGAUUUUUGCUGAAUUUGCAUUAAUAUUAAUAUUGCCACCAAUCUAGUCUCAACCUUGCCUUGUGUUCUCGGUGGUCAUGUUUUAUUCUAACUUGCAAGCCCUACAGCUACAUAUGAUGGUUCUUCUAUAUACAUAAUACAUCGCAUCACUUAAGACAUAUAUCGCGGGCCGGCGGCUCAUGGGGGAGCGGCGCCGGCGGAGCGAAAGCGACUGACGGUGGGCGGAGGCGGGUGGGUGCGGGCGGAGGCGGAGGCCGGUGCGGGCGCGUGCGGAGGUGGAUGGGUGGAGGCGUGCAGCGGUGGCGAGUAGAGGCGGGCGGGCACGGGCGAGUGGCAGCUGGGCCAGCGGCGGCCGGGCGGCCGGCCGGUGAGCGUGGGGCUUUUUUUUAUUUUUUUUCAAAAUGUUUUAGUCCCGGUUCGUGGUUGGUACCACCGACCGGGAUUAAAGGGGAAGACCCCGUCUUUUGUCUCGAAAAAUUUAUCCCGGAUGGUUUUUAGAGAGAUUUGAGCCUACCCAACCGGGACUAAAGGUGAGUUUUGCACCAGUAAUGCAGAGGAGGCUCAUCCUAAAUGGUGACACCAUGCUGAUCAUGCAAUUUAUCAUUAUUUUAUCGCCCUCAUGCAUGCUGUGCAUGAUUGAUAUUAGUAUUGGGCAGCUUAGAUUCCUCAGCGCAUCAUGCUGCUCAGCCAUGGAGGUCAAGGCAUCAAUAUUGUCCAUAUCACAACGUCUCUGCUUUCUCUUGUUGUCCUCCCCCUUCCCUCUACAUUGCACCUUCUUGUUUUCCUGAUCCUAUUGCCAGUUUGUUGCAGCCAUUUAUGGGCACCUCUUUCGUCCAUUGUCCACUGUUGUUGCCCGCUGCCUCAGUUCUUCUCUAACCAAAGCGGUCGUAUCGCGCUGGUCGGUAGGAAGCCAUCGUCUCACAAAAGCAUCGUCGUGAUCGCCAAACCACAUCUAGCCGAUGCCGAACCAUACUUGCCAUCUUCUUUGCCAACUUGCCGCUAUGGAAGCCUCCAUGCAUCGCUCCUCGAGUCUAUCCUAUCUCUAUCAGCUCCUGUGGUAUCCUGUUUUGUUUUUGCCUCAACCACGAAGCCAUAGGUAGCUGGUGCUAAAUUGCAGGGCCAGCAACAGCUAUUUCCUCUCCCUGGCCUUGCGGCCAUGCUAUGUAUUUUUCUCUCUCAAAAAAAAUUCCAAUGAUUUAAUUCUAAUGUUCCGAUCAUGUGUGAUUGGUUUAUUAAUUAAAGUUAUAGUUAUACACGAGUAUAUUAUAAAAAAAUAAUAUAUAUAUAAGUUACCAUACAAAGUACAACUUCCAAUAAGGUGGAGAGGUUCGGAUGGAAUUUUGAUUCAACUUACUCUAUUCUAGAUAUUAGAGUUGUACUAGCAAAAUAUCCAUACAUUGCUAUAGCAAAAUAUCCGUACAUUUGCUACGGUAAAAGAUCAAUUGUGUUUUUCAAACUAAUAAUAUUUUUUAUUUUCAUCACUAAAGUUUUAUUCCACUUAUUGGAUGUCCACACAUUUAAUAGAAAACUAAAAGAAUUUUAACUAAUUAUUUCCUUCAACUCAAAUACCAAUUAAAUUAAAAUAUUUUUUUAUUCAAGCAAGAGAGUUAAAUCAGCCUCCGAUGGCCAUCGAUGAGGGGCUCUUUAGUCCUGGUGAGUAAUAUCAACCGGGACUAAAGAACCCCUUUAGCCCCGGUUGUAAAAGUUAGUGGCCUCGGGAUUCUGUUGGGGCGUUUUGUCCCGGUUGCAACUACCAACCGGGACUACGCUCCCCGCCUCCACACACACAAUGUGCGUGCCUCACUUUCUCUCCUCCCUCUCCUUAAUUCCAGUACCCAAGCCUCCUCUCCUUAAUUCCAAUACCCACAUGCCUCCUCUCCUCCUCCCUUCGGCCCCUGCCUCCUCUCCUCCCUCUCCUUCUCCUCCGCUAGAUCCGGCCAACCCCCAUUCCCUCUUCCAAGCUCCUCCCUCUCCCUCGACCGAGGCGGGCGGCGGGCGCAGGUCGGGUGGCGCGGCUGGGGCCGAGGCGGCGUGGGCGGCCGGGGGUCAGGGAGGAUGAUAGGUGGUUACGAGGAUGAUACCUGCAGACAAUACUUUUAGUCCCUCAAUUUUUUCUGAGAAUUGCACUGUGAGCUGCGCUUUCAUUUAUGUCACACCGCUCAGCAAAAAAAACGGUGCAAAUCGACCAAAAUAAAUGAAUAAAUCACACGGUUUAGACUGGUGGCAUCUGUAUGUUUGAUGAGUUUUGAAUCCCAACAGACCUCUGUUUGCUUAUCCAACAGGAGGAAAAAACUUUACUUACUAAAUCAGCUUUGCAUGCCAGGCUGCAAUUGUUAGAGCAGAAUUGGGUAAUUUGUGAACAUAAUUGAAUCAAAGUUUUGUCUCAGACUAGUAAUAGAAAAUGGUAAUGCUCCACAGCUAGAACACGUUCCUACACUAGUUUAAAAAAUUCCCUGAAAUUGGCGACAAUGGUCAAGCUCAAUGUCAAAGUCAAAAAUUCCUACACACGUUCCUACCAUACUUGGAACUUGGAAGGCCGCUGGUCGAUGUCAAAGUCAAAAACAGAAGCAGACAGCGACGUCUCACCAGAUCACGAAUCAGAUGCGAUGCAUGUGCAUGUUCAGCAAGACAUUGAAAAGCAAGCUCUGUCUGGCAGCAGCUCUUCAAUACGCUCCAGCCCAUCUCUACCAUGGCAUUGGCAAUGCGCGUCAUGAGCUUGCUUCCUGCCACCAUCGCCGUGAUGAUCGCAGCGGCCUCCUGGGGAGCGCACGGCGGUGCCAGCGACGAGGCCAGCGCGCUACUUGCUUUCAAGGCUGAGCUCGCCGGCAGCGGCUCCGGCAUGCUUGCAUCCUGGAAUGGCACCGCUGGCGUCUGCGGCUGGGAGGGCGUGGCGUGCACCGGCGGCCAGGUGGUGGCACUGAGCCUGCCCUCCUAUGGGCUCGCCGGAGCCCUCUCCCCGGCCAUUGGGAACCUCACUUUCCUGCGGACCCUGAACCUGAGUUCCAACUGGUUCCAGGGGGAGGUCCCAGCAAGCAUCGGCCGCCUAGCGCGUCUGCAGACGCUUGAUCUGAGAUACAAUGCGUUCUCUGGUACGCUUCCUUCCAACCUCAGUUCCUGUGUCAGCUUACUGCUGUUAGAUCUCAGCAGUAACCGGUUCCAUGGGCGUAUCCCUGUUGAGCUUGGAGACAAGCUAACAAGUCUUCAGAAGUUCUCACUGGGCAACAACAGCUUGACGGGUGCCAUACCAGGAUCACUAGGUAACCUGUCAUCCCUGAUCUACCUUGAUCUGACAGAAAACCACCUCGAGGGUCCGAUCCCACAUGAACUUGGCAGCAUGGGCGGCCUGCAGGUCCUUUUCCUCUAUGAGAACAGACUCUCCGGUGUGCUUCCACACUCCCUGUACAAUCUGUCCUCACUGAAAAACUUGGUGGUAGGAAACAACAUGCUGUCUGGAACCAUCCCUGCUGAUAUCGGCGAUAGGUUCGCCGGUAUGGAAGUUCUUGACUUUAGUAGCAACCGAUUCAGUGGAGCUAUCCCACCUUCGCUCGGCAACCUCUCUGCUCUCACGUUACUAAACCUUCCAGGAAAUGAUUUUAUUGGAUAUGUGCCUUCUGCUUUGGGGAAGUUGCAAAGUCUUACUGACCUGUUCUUGAGUGACAACAGGCUAGAAGCAAACGACAGUCAAGGGUGGGAAUUCAUCACUUCACUGGCAAACUGCUCCCAGCUUCAGUAUCUUGUUCUCGGCAACAACUCUUUCAGCGGGCAACUGCCUAAUUCAGUCGCAAACCUGUCAUCAACUCUGCAACAUCUUUAUUUGGGAGACAAUAUGAUUUCUGGGAAUAUUCCAAUAAACAUCGGAAAUUUGGUUGGUCUUACAGUACUUGAUAUGGCAAAUACUUUAGUAUCUGGACAGAUUCCAGAGAGCAUUGGUCAGCUAAGAAACUUGGUUGGGUUAGGCCUUUACAACACUAGCUUGUCAGGCCUCAUACCUUCAUCACUAGGAAAUCUUACACAGUUGAAUAAUCUUUAUUUAUACUAUGGAAACUUAGAGGGGCCAAUUCCAUCAAACUUGGGGAACUUAAAGAAUGUGUUUGCCUUUGAUCUCUCAACAAAUCGACUCAAUGGUUCAAUUCCUAUAGAGGUUUUAAAACUUCCUCGACUUUCCUGGUACUUAGACUUAUCAUAUAAUUCACUAUCCGGGCCACUUCCAACUGAGGUUGGUACCAUGGUGAAUCUUAACGAACUGAUUCUGUCUGGAAACAAGUUCUCAGGCACCAUACCAGCUAGUGUUGGGAACUGUAUAUCGUUGGUAAAGCUGCUGCUCGAUAACAACUUAUUAGAAGGAAGCAUACCUCAAUCUCUGAAGAACUUAAAAGGUCUUGCAUUACUGAACCUAACAAUGAAUAAGCUAUCUGGUAGUAUUCCUGAUGCCCUUGCUAGCAUUGGCGACCUGCAACAACUGUAUCUUGCACACAACAACUUGUCAGGUUCCAUCCCCAAAGUUCUACAGAAUUUGACAUUGUUGGCAAAACUGGAUUUGUCCUUCAAUGAUUUGCAAGGCGAAGUGCCAAAAAGGGGUCCUUUUGCAAAUGCAACUCACUUGUCAAUUGAUGGAAAUGAUGAGCUUUGUGGUGGAAACCCUCAACUUCACUUAGCUCCGUGCUUCACAGCUGCUGCGGGGAAGAACAGAAGGCGAAUGUCAAGGUCAGUUAUGGUCACCGUAGCGUCAAUCUGCGCACUUCUAUUCUUAGGUUUAGUAGUUUUUCUUAUCCAUUUGAUCCACAAGACGCUCAGACAAGGAAAGGAAAAUCAACUCAUUCCCACAGUAAUUGAUGAACAGCACGAAAGGGUUUCAUAUCAAGCAUUAGCAAAUGGGACUGACCAUUUUUCGGAGGUUAAUCUGCUCGGACAAGGAAGCUAUGGUGCAGUUUAUAAGUGCACUUUACAUGACAAGGGAAUUACCGCAGCUGUAAAGGUAUUCAACGUACGGCAAUCUGGGUCUACUAGAAGUUUUGUGGCUGAAUGUGAGGCACUGCGAAGGGUGCGCCACCGAUGUCUCAUAAAGAUCAUCACCUGUUGCUUAAGCAUUGAUCACCAAGGCCAAGAAUUCAAGGCACUGGUUUUUGAGUUCAUGCCCAAUGGUAACCUAAAUGAUUGGCUGCAUCCAGCAUCCAAAAUACAGAGUCUGAGCAAUACACUCAGCUUAGCUCAGAGACUAGACAUUGCGGUAGAUAUCAUGGAUGCUCUGGAUUAUCUUCACAAUCAGUGUCAACCGCCUAUUAUCCAUUGUGAUCUCAAACCAAGUAACAUCCUCCUUGCCGAAGAUAUGAGUGCUCGGGUUGGAGAUUUCGGCAUAUCAAAAAUCCUUCCUGACGACACUAGCAAAACUCUGCUGAAUUCAGUUAGCUUCACUGGACUAAGAGGUUCCAUCGGAUAUGUCGCUCCAGGUAACAGAAACUAACACUGAUAUUGCUAUGUUCAGUUUUUAACUUCCAUUUUGCCAAGUCCAGUUAUCUCGGCAUGCACGUUGAUAAGUAGCUUGCCAUGAAUCCACUGACCAAAUAGUGUCUGAAAUCUGAAUUGACUGCAGAGUACGGCGAGGGUCGCGCUGUCUCAACUCUUGGAGAUGUUUACAGCCUCGGCAUACUGUUGCUUGAGAUGUUCACCGGGAUGAGCCCUACUGACGACAUGUUCAAAGGCUCCUUGGACCUUCAUAAGUUCGCCGAGGCCGCUCUCCCCGACAGAGCCUUGGAGGUAGCCGACCCGGCAAUCUGGUUUCAUGAAGAAGCAAAGGGCGAAGACCCUGCCACGGUGAGAAGCAGAAGCGAGAGGUGCUUGGCUUCAGUGGUCGGGCUUGGCGUGUCCUGCUCAAAGCAGCUGCCAAGGGAGCGGACGGCGAUGCGGGAUGCUGCCGCUGAGAUGCGUGCGAUCAGAGAUGCCUUCCUGGUUCAAUGUGCAACAGAGACUUGGCCUGCAGUCGGCACCACCGGCCUUGGGAGCGCAGACAGUUGAAUGGUGGACGGAGCUACGGUCUCUUGAUGAACCAAGGAGCACCGGACUAGCAACUCUGCAACUAACAGAGUGGAGAAAGCGCCCCUUAAUGAAAAGAAAAACAGCCGGUGCAAGGCUUUAUAAAAAGAAUGUGACAGCCACUGCGUGUAUCCGAGAGACUUAUCUAAUCUACCGAGGAUUGUUGGGUAGGGAUGCGUAUAGAUUAUGCACGUGCUCCCUCCGUCCCAAAAUAAAUGCACAUCUCGCUUUUCGAGGAGUCAAACUUCUAAGUUUGACUAAAAUUUAUAAAAAAAUGUACUACUAUUUAUAAUGUAUAAUAAAUAUCAUUAGAUUGGGCGUUGGAUAUACUUUCCUAAUAUAUUUAUUUGAAGAUGCAAAUGAUGAUACUAUUUUCUUUAUUCUUAGUCAAACUUAAAAAUGUUUGACUCUUCGAGAAGUGAGAUGUGUGUUUAUUUUGGGAUGGAGGGAGUACCCGUCACGGGGAUUAGUCACGAUAUAAGUAGGGACUAGCAAGCACCAAAAUCCCAUUCACUGCCCUUCGAUCGCUCAAAUAAAACAAACCAUUGCAUAUGGUGGCGAUGCGCUUGCGGGCCUUUUUCCAACCUUUCUGCUGUCGUGGGUCUUGAACUCGCAUGGAACAGUUUUAGUGAAAGCGUGCCCUUCAAUUUUGGGAAGAUUGCGAAGCCUCAUUUACCUGUCCUUAGUGACAAUAAGUUAGGAUCCAAUGAUAAGGACGGAUUGGAAUUCAUCACCAUGCUGGCAAACUGCAGCCAGCUUCAGCAACUGGCUUUUGACAAUAAUUCAUUCAUCGGGGAACUUCCUAGCUCAAUUGCAAAUCUAUCGACAACACACCAAUUACUCUGUAUAGGAAACAAUUGGAUUUCGGGAUUUAUUCCAUCCAGCAUAGGUAAUUUGCUUGGUCUAGAACUGCUUGCGUUGGCAAAUACUUUCAUAUCCGGAGUGAUUCCAGAUAGCAUUGGUCGCCUAGAAGACAUGUCCGUGUUAGGCAUUUACUACGCUAGCUUGUCAGGCAUCAUACCUUCGUCACAAGGAAACCUUACACAGUUGAAAACUCUCUAUGCGUACGAUAGCAACUUCGAGGGUCCAAUUCCAGCAAGUGGGGGAACUUAAAGAAUGUUGUUGUUCUUGAUCUCUCAACGAAAGUGUGUAACCCGCUAAGAUUUCGUGUCGAAGCAAAGCAUAAACCUCUCUUAAGACUGCAAAGCUAUCAUAGAGCAGAUCAGUCUAAGACAAUGUAGAACUUAGUCAAAUUUUAUUUAUAAACAUUCAAGUACAAUUUAUGCAAAGUAAAUUUGAAAAUAAAGUAUACGUAAACAUCUAAGCGCAUAGCUUUAUGAUUUGAGUUGAACUAACCAAAUAUAAUUGAAAAACACAUUUAUAUUUAUAUUAAGUCAAAUUAACAUAUAAUUAUGAAAGCUCGAGAUAUAACUUAUGGAGCCUUUAUUUAGAAAACAAAUUGAAUAAACAUUAAUCAAUUUAAGUUUAAUUAUGAACCACCAUGUUGCAUCUCUCAUUGACUUUUAAUUGAAAGAGUUAUUUAAAUAAGCAUUAACUAAUUUAGCAUUUAUUAUGAAAAGCAGUUAUAACACUAAGUAGCUUUUAAUUAAAGAAGACAUGUUUAACAUGCAUUAAUCAGAUUAAUAUUAAAUUUAUUUUAAAAACAUGCAUGAUGGAAAGAUCAGUACUAACAUGUAAUUUGUGUUAUUACAAACCUAACUCAAUAAGAACAGAUAUAAACGGAGCUGUAACGACCAGUCUAUGGGUUAAACAAGGUUGCAGGGCCUAAUCAUGAUUAACGGAAGGUUAUUGGGGCUAGCAAGGAAGAUUUGCAAGACACUGGAAUAGAGCUCCCCAUUAGGUCAAAGCAUAGGGCGAUUGCGAAAUCAAGAACUCGAAGGUGAUCGCGAGAACACGAAGGACACGAAGGUUUUAGAUAGGUUCGGGCCUCCGGAGAGUAAUACCCUACGUCCUGUAUGCUAGUUUGUAUUGCUUGAGAUUGAUCUGAUUGUUGGGAUACCCUCGGGGGUGCCCUUGGCCGCCUUAUAUAGGCUGACGACCAAGAGUUAAAAGUCAGUUUGAAUCUAAUCUACUCGGUAGUUACAUGGAAAGUAAUCUGAGUUGGACUACAGUACACGUUCCAUGAUAUCCAGGCAGAUUUGAACUGUCUUGUUGCCUUGACUUGCACUCCAAGUAACUUCAUGUCCUCGGCCCGCACGCCCUAGUCGGGCGGGCCCUACUUGUCAGUCCGGCCAGUAUCCUGGUCGGUCGGGGCCCAUGGGGUACCCAUAUCCCUCAAGCCCCCGAGCAUUGUGUAGGUGAAGAGUAACUUGAGGUCACCACAGUGAAACUUGAAAUGAAGUCGGCUGAAGCUACGAAGACAUCAUGGCGACGGAGAGGCUGCACAGUGCUCAAAAGAAGAAAUUCUGAGCAAACGCAGAGCCAACGCGUAGAGCGAAGACGAGUGCCGAGUUGAUGGAUGCUGGCAUUCAGCAGUCGGAGCAAAGGUUAUGGAGGGCCUCGCAAAACGCACUCUGUAGGAGUAGCCCCCGAGCAUUAAAGUGAUUAAGAUAAUCGGUACAAUAGUCAAAGAAGAAAAAGUUAUCCCCUAAAGUAGAUCCUAGUGCUCGAACAUAAGGAUGGGUGAAGCCAUGGAGGCCCGCCAACCAGAAGUAGGCACCCAGACCCAAGAAUGAGGACUAGCGGGACCGUGUAGCCACGUUGACCUGAAAUAGGCGCCCAACCCCUGAGGACGAGGACUAGCGGAGCCACGGAGGCAUGCCGACCUGAAGUAGGCACGCAACCCCUGAGGACGAGAACUGGAGGAGCCAUGAAGACACGCCGACUUGAAAUAGACGCCAAGCCCCUGAGGAUGAGGACCAGUGGCGCCACGGAGGCACGCCAGCCAGAAUUAGGCAUCCAACCCCCGAGGAUGAGCAUGAGGACUGGUGGAAGCACGUCGAGGUGCCUCCCGCCUCGAGCCGAGGCAGAGAGGUCAGUCGGGCGACGGGAGGCACAUGAGUCAUCUAUGGCGCGCAACCGCCGAGCCUGGGAGCCGGACGAGUUGCAGAAGCAUGCCAAGUCGCCUCCCGCGGCGAGCUAGAGAGGUUUGCUGGGCGACGGGAGGCACGCCAAGUCAUCUGCAGUGCCCAGCCCUCAAGCCUUAGGGCCGGCUGAGCCAUAGAAGCAUGCCAAGCCGCCUCCCGCCCCGAGCCAGAGAGGUCGGCCGGGUGACGAGAGGCACGUCGAGUCAUCUGCGGCGCCCAGCCCCCGAGCCUAGGAGCCAGACAAGUCAUAGAAGCAUGCCAAGUUGCCUCCCAUCCCGAGCUAGAGAGGUCGGCCGCGUGACGGGAGGCACGCCGAGUAGUUUUUGAGCUAUAAAAGGACAAUACAAUCAUCAUGUAGCAUAGUGUAGAUCGUUUAAUCAUUGAACAACUCGGAAGUUUAAUUCACUAUAUAAGUAAACUCUUGCGCAUCCUGCUCUUGUAGGCUAAGUAAUUUCCCCAGGUAGUUAGCCUGUUACGUUUAAGCACCUAGCCCUACUGACCACUGCUCACAGAGAUGACGGUUUAUCUCAAGCUAUAGCGCUGGGGCUGACCUGAUGCUUGCAUAUAGGAGACGCGCAGGAUGAGUUAAGGUUUUACGGAUUAAGGCAUGUGCUACCCGAGUACUUUAGCAACUGUUAACAGGGACAGACAAGUUGCAAAGCAGCCGGAACUGUGCGGAAAAGCACCAGCAUGAGCUAGGCACCCAUGGGGUGUAACCCCUGGCCGCCCGUGUAGUGGACGGACCAAGUUGUAUAAACAGUUAGGGUGCGACCAAGGUGGUGGGCAAAAGUCACGGAGACAUAGGAGAGCUGAGGCGGUCGACGAAAGUCACAGGAACAUGGAGGAGCCGAGGCUUAUGUAGGUAUACGGAAGCCAUAAAAUAUUUAAUUGUAAAUAAGACUUAGCUUGAUUCGUGAUCGAGUCGAAGAACCCGCAUGUCGUCUUUGCGUUUAGGCUUAGAAGCCCCUGAGCGUGGUCAGCGGAUAGUUGUUGGUGAAGCAAACUAGUAGGGCUCCAUGCCCGACUAAUUCGUGUCAAGUCCGAGUUGUUGGAGUUGUUAGUGGCAAGUCUGUGGCUGCGAUCGUGGUAUGCUGCUGCCAAGUCGAUGCGGCCAUCGGGUCGUGGCUGGCUGGCCGCCACGCUCGCAAUACAGCAUGCCUGGGUUGUGCUGCCAAACCAAAGGUGCAUGUACAUCUUUCCGAACCUCGUAAGGAAGCCCUCAGGUAUUAAGGAAAUCUAUACCUAAUAUUAAAGUGCGGUUGUUUGUUCCAACCAUUAUGGUUGUUUUGCAAAAAAGUCCCUCAACUUUUUCGUAAUCAGCUCGCAGUCCUUGGAAUAUGUCUUGAUGAUUUUGCAAAAAGGUCCCCAAACUUUACUGCAAUUGGCCGUCGAAGCUCCCGCAGCAUGCACCUACGCCACGUGCGGUGCGGACGAGUGUGCUGGCGGUGGCUGCAAGCUCCUCACCACAGCGGGGACCAGGUCGAGCAGCGACAGCGAUGACGGAGGGGAGUAGUCCGCAUCCGCGUGCCGUGCUUCCAUCGUCGGGCAAGCUGUGGCGGCGGUGGAGAGGGAAAGUGAGUACAUCGGCGUGUGGCAGCAGUCGUGGGGCAGUUUGGCGGCGGAGAUCCAUGACCCGCACCUCGCUGUGCGCAAGUGGCUCAGCACCUUGGACACCAUUGAGGACGCCACACACGUCUAUGAUGUCGCCGCCAUCGAGUUCCGAGGCCACCACGCCAAGCUCAACUUCCCCGACGACAUGGUCCCCGUGCCCGCACCUUCUAGGGUGCCCACCUCUACAUACCACUACCACCACCACCUGCCGCAGCCGCUGCCCAAGAGUCUGCACAAGACCUGCGGGUCGAACGCAUCGUCGUCGGUGCACAUGGCUCCUGGAUGACGGCAGCUUCUUGUCACCCAUGCCAUGAUCGUCACAUUCUCCUCUUGUUUUCACUUUCGUUGCUUAGCGGAUAAUGGUGGUCAGCUGCCCUUUGGUCUGUCGUCAAUCACCAGCCAUCCAUCGCUUUCAUAUGGUUUUACACUAGCUUUUGGGCUUUGACCACACCUCCACACCCAUAAAGUGGAGUGAUGUUGAUCUACUGCCGCUCGCCCUGGCGUGCAACUACUGUCGCUCACCCUAGCACAUGGCUACUCACUCGGGCUGCGUGCCCUACCCGCCACCUGGACCUAAGAGGUGAAGGAGAGAGGAGGAAGGGGGAAGGAAAUAAGGAGCCGAGUGCCUCUUUGCAGUCAACCAAGUAGAUCCAUGUGCCAGCGAAGGCAUGGCGCCAGCAAGGGGGGGGGGGCGCAGCAGCAGUCGGCAGGCAACGCAAAUUGGGGCAGAGGUUGGGACCUCACACCCCCCCUCUCAAUGACGUCCAUCCCCUUAAGAUCCGGAACUAAAGCCUCCACAUCUAGCAAUUGGGGGCUCAAUUUUGCACUUGAUUGAAAUGAUUUGGAGUGGAUUAUGGAAGGGAAGUGGAUGGAAAUGAGAAGAGGAGGAGAACGCACUCCUGCUCAUGGCGGCCAGAGGCGUUGUGGCCUAGCGCUCGAAGCAGGAAUGAGGCUAGGCACAGGAAGGACGAGCGCUUGCCUGGGCGAUGGUGAGGAUGGCAAGAUGCGCAGCGCCUGGAUGACGGCGAAGAUGGGGCUAGAUGCGGGUGGCGCUGAUGGAUGAAGAGGCAUCGACUGGCUAGAUGACGAUGAGUACGGGGGAAAUCGAAUGAAUGGAUGGAGCGGAGGUUGAGCGGUGAUUUUUUUUAUUUCCAUAUGUGGGUCCCACAUAAUAAACAUAUGGCAUCAAAUCACCCAUAAAUAUCUUCUACUACUAUACUGAGACAACGCACCAACAUAUGGUGAACCGAAGCCACCGUAUUACGAACAAGCGAAUAAUAACGUGAGAAUAAGUAAGGACCUGUAGCAACGCACGGACAUUUCUGCUAGUGAGAAAAAAAAUUGUUAUCUACCGCAGUAAGCACCGAGCAACAUAGGAGAUCUACUGGAUGGAAUAGAUUAAAUAAUAAAGGGAAGGGAGAAUUGUUUCCUUUUUUUUCCGUGGCAGAUCCGACAUGUCUGCAUGCAACAAGUUGAGGCCGACGUGUCGUGCUAAAUCAAUUGGAUCGGACUGGGGCUGGAUCAGGCGAGCUUGGCUGUGGCCGGGAUGAGGCCAAUAAGGGCGCCGCCCUUGACCUUGGCCUCCUGCGUCUCGUGGAUCUUCUGCAUCUAGAGCAUCCGCUCCAUGACAAGCUUGUACUGGCACUUCUCUUAGGCGUGGUGCUCAGGCUGGCACUUCCAGGGGAGGUAGAACUCGGAGGUGCACGCACUGGUUGUGGUAGGCGAGCGGCACCUGGGCCACCGCCAUCUCCACCUGCGUGAUGAUCUAGGGCUUCAAGGAGCCGAACUGCACACCGACCGUUGCUGCCGCCUCCAUCUGUCACUUUCUUCCCGUCUCUCUCACCGGCGAGGUCGUUCCAUCGAUAGAUGGGCAUUGCGGGUUUGGUGCGGUGUGGGUAGGUGGGGUGCAGCGAGGACAUGAGGAACCCUCUCGGAGAGAGAGAUUGCCAAUCUACUGGGCAAGUGGCAUGAUGAUCCUUGGAUAGAGAACUUGCUCCUCCGGAGUAAAUCCGACAGAUGCCGAGCUGGCGGCAGGCAUCGAGUCGAAGUCCACCGACAUGCUCCCGAAGCAGAGCUGGAUUGGGUUGGCGAGGAAGUCCUUCAUGCUCUCGGAAAAAACAAUGUCGGGACGGGAUGCCAUCGAGCUCGCUAGGGAGGAUCUCACAAUCAUCCCUACCUGGCAUGCCAACUGUUGGAUUUAUAAGCCUGAUAGUCCACCAGGGGGUUACCCAAGUAGUUGAUUUCUAGGUGAGGGCGAUUGUGAAACCAAGAACUCGAAGGUGAUUGCGAGAACACGAAGGGACACGAAGAUUUUAGAUAGGUUCGGGCCUCCGAAGAGUAAUACCCUACGUCCUGUAUGCUGGUUUGUAUUGCUUGAGAUUGAUAUGAUUGUUGGGAUACUCUUGGGGGUGCCCUUGGCCGCUUUAUAUAGGCUGAUGACCAAGAGUUACAAGUCGGUUUGAAUCUAAUCUACUCGGUAAUUAGAUGGAAAGUAAUCUGAGUCGGACUACAAUACGCGUUCCAUGAUAUCCAGGUAGAUUUGAACUGUCUUGUUGCUUUGACGUGCACUCCAAGUAACUUCAUGUCCUUAGCCCGCACGCCUUAGUCGGGUGGGCCCUAGUUGUUAGGUCUGACCAGUAUCCUGAGGUACCCAUAUCUCUCACCUUGGUGCUCCGGCGAUUAGGGUCAACGGCGAGGAUGGGGAUUGGAAGAGGAGAUCAAGGGGACUUUAUGGAGAUGCUCACCGGUGGUGAGGUGGACGGAUUCCAGCCAGAAUUUGGCUGGCGGUGGAAGAACACGACAGGUUGCUCAGGUCUUCGCGAGUGAUGGUACUCCAGCAGUGGAGCGGCGACGAAGACUAGUGGCAGAGCAGCUCCUCGACAUCAUGGAGCUCCCUAAGGCUCUAGCUUGCUCCAAUGGUCGACGGGCAUAGCGAAUUGGCCAGAGAAGGCUGGUAGCGGCUCCUAGCUUCGGUGGAUGUGGGGGAUGGCGGCGCUUGUGGAGGAUGGCGGUGCUUGUGCAAGCUGGGAAGAGUGGCGGCGCGAGGCAGGGUAGCAGCAGGGGCACUGUCUCGACUUUUAUAGGCGCGUGGGUCCGCGCCUACCUUGGCACGCAUGCUGAGGUUCGGCGGUGGCGACGACCAACUGCAGCUACGCUUGGCCUCAACCCGUUGGUGGCCGAUGGGCCUAGCGGACCUAGCCGAGCCAUCAGCUGGGCUGGGUCGGUGAGGGUCGAGCCGCAAAGACUUGGCCCGAUUGAUUAGGAUUUUCCUUUUUUUUAGAAAUGAUUUCUUGUAAAAGAAAAAUCCAGAAAAAUUCUAUAUAAUUAAUUUAAGCAACGAAAAAACCCUAAAAAUCCAAAAAUUCCAGGAAAAAUCCUAGAGAUAGUUUGGGAAUGAGGAGUACAAAUAAAAUACUUGGAGCUCAUGAAAAGGAUUCUAGAACCUUCCAAAAAUUGGAUUUAGCUCUAGAAAAAAGAGAAUAAAUCUUAGAAAAAUCUUGAAAUUCUCAUAAGAACCUAAUGGGCAUCUAAACGCAUUCCAAAACCUUUGCACUUAUGAAAUACCAAGAUGCAUCGGCAUGAAUGCAACACAUACAUAGAACUAUUAUAUUUAAUUCAGAAAAACACUCAAUUAUUUUCCUAUACUAAAUUUCCUGUCAGGAAAAUAAAUGUUGGAAAAAUUUUAAAAUUAUGAGAAAAUCAUUGUUUAAUUAUUAUUUUUAAUCACAUCCUGAAAUUUCAAAAAUUUUAAGGUGUGACAGAUACCCUCAGGUUUACAGAAUUUGACAUCCAUGUGCAAAUUGGAUCUAUCCUUCAAUGAUUCUUUGGAUUUGCACAGUUUUCAGAUAUUUACUGGAAGGAGCCCAACGGAUGAGAUAUUCAAUGAUUCUUUGGAUUUGCACAGUUUUCAGAGAAUGCUCUUCCAGAGAGAAUAUGGGAUAUAGUUGAUCCGACAAUAUGGAUGCACACAGAUGCCUAUAACAGCACUAUGAGAAGUGGAAUUAAGAAUUGCUUGCUUUCUGUUGUUUCUCUUGGAAUAUCAUGCUCAAAGAAACAACCUAGGGAGCAGAUCCCGAUUCAGGAUGCAGCCAUUGAGAUGCACGCUAUUAGAGAUUCGUAUCUCAAGUUUGCCAGAUCUCUUUUGGUGGAGCAUGGAGUAGUAGCAACAACUCACAGUGAUUUCCCACAACAGUGAAUACAUAGGACUGAAAAUGGGCAAGAUGUCCGCAGGUGAUCAGUUUACCUGAAAUAACUGAAGAUGUAUGAAGCUUCAGCUUUAUAAUUCGUCCAUGCAUUUGUUUGCAUCAGAUAUAUGGAAGUAUAAAAUAAGUUUAGAAAAUGUUUCAAAAUAGAUUAGAUCAAGAGGUUUUUACUUGUCGUCUGUAUGGCACAUUUGUUUAGAGAAUUCAGUAAUAUGUAUGAUUCAUAAUACAAUCAAUGCUCUGCAAAUUUCAGAUAGCACAAUUGGAAUAAAAAGCUCAUUCAUUGAUUAUGUUGCUCUAGGUGACUCAACUUAUUGUGAUGUUCACUGUAGAUUUCUCCAUGGUCCAAACGACCUUUGUGAUCAGUUAUGUUUAUGCAUUUUGUAGACUUGUAAAGUCUUUCCCUAACCUGCUGACAUAUCAGCUGGAGCAGAGCACUCUGCCGUUCUGCGCCACUUGCCUCUAGGCAGCGCUUGCCGCUUGGUGGCUGCCGUGGCGACGGGCGGCAUCCGUAAUUGCUCUAUUGGAGGCUGAGGGGCACAAUUACGUCUUGGAGUCGCCACCGCGCGACCUUCGGAGCUCGCCCAUGCCUCAUCGGUACGAGCUCAGUCCCGCGGUGAAUGGCGCGCGCAUCUGGGGUUCCGUCAGCUGCAGGUGCAGAUGGGUGGAGAGCUUAACAGCACUAGGUCUUCAGAAGAUGUUGGGUGGGCUGGAUGGGGCUUUGCGGCUCUGAAUGGCGAGGCGGGCAGGGACGACGGCGGCAGCGGCAGGCGGCGGCACUGGACGCGUUGGGGUGGAGACGACCCGGACCAGGGAGCAUUUUUGAAAAUAGUCGGAUCGCGAUCCUAAUUAGGAAAUGUGAGAAGGGGUGCACCAAAUAUGGGAUGAGAUGGAGAGGAGCGGAUCAGGCCCAGAUCAGCGAUCAUUUACUAUUAGGGCCCGUUUGUUUGGCAGGAAUUGGGCUGAAUUGGAAUUACUUUCCUAGGCCGACCUGUUUGGCUGCACAUGGAAUUGGAAAUCGUCUUUCCGGUGAUUUUCACGGGCUGAUUUUCUUACUUGCGACACAUUCCGGGCCUAAGACAAAGAAAUCAAUUCCAUCCGACUUGCUUCCCCUCCCGACUCGCCUCCCUUCCCCGACACCGCGCCACCUCCCUCUCCCAACUCCCCUCCAUCCCGACGCCGCACCCCCUCCUCCACCGCCUCCUCCGGCGCCCCCUCCUCACCUCCCCCUGACUCGCCUCACCCCGUGCUGCCGCCGCCCUCGACUCUGACUCCCCGAGCGCUGCGCCGCCGCCUCUCGCGCCGCCGCCCCUCGCGACCACCUUCUCGACGGCGAGAUAAACCUCCUCCAGUUUCCCUCCUCCAUCUCGUUCUCCGGCUCACCCCUUCCUUUUUCUUCCUCACCGGCUCACCCCUUCCCCUUGAACAAUCCGCAGAUCUGCGGGGGAGGUGCCACCGGCAAGCAGGCUGGGAGCAGCUGCAACGGCGGCCGCCCCAUCCACGUCUCUACGGACGGCAUCUUCAACAUUCCGACCACGCGCGUGCUCUCCACUAGCAAAGAAGCUGUACGUCCCAAUCCCUUCUGCCCAUCCCCUUUGCUACUCGAGCCAGCAAAGAAACUACUAGUUAGUUGCAUCAGAUUCUCACUGUCAAAUUGGAAGGCCAUUGCUCUUGCUCCUACUAGUAUACCGCACUUUCCACAAAAUGCGACACACGAAUUUGUUAAUUUUGCCGUAAUUCUGCUAUCAAAUCAAAAGGCCAAUCCUCUUGCUCUAAACAGUUUCUGCAAUUUCGUGCACUAUCGAUUGCUAGUGCUAAUUACAUGGAGGGCCUUUGGUACUUCUCUGCUAAUGCUAAUUAUAUGUGACAUGCUCUGAGAUUCUUCAUACUGUGUGCUGCCAUUAGUUUAAAUUUGGUAGAAGCUGAAAUCUCUUCGUAGAUCAUUAUGUGCUGCCAUUCUGAUAUCCUGUGGAGUUGCAUAUCAACUACUAGUGCUAGCAUUUAGUUUUAUCUGUCACAGCAGUUAAGCAUCAGUCAGCCCUUAUCUAGCAUUUAGUUGGUGCAGCUGUGCAAGUGAUGUUCCUAUUGUUUUUAAUUUUUGUCUUCUGCAGCAUUUUGCAGGCUGUCUAUGUUUCUGCUUAGUUUCGUGAAAUAGUGUAGCAUUUUGAUGAUAAAUUAAAACAUUCCUUUUUGCAUAUGUUUAGAUGCCUGACAGCAACAUAGACUUGGUUAAUACAGGCAUAGAGCAAAUGAGAGAGAGCGUAGGAAGAAGAGAAAAAGAGUGGCUAUUUUAUUUAUUUCUGCUGUCAUGAGCAUGAUUGUGCACUAAUGCGUAAGAGACCUAGGCGUAUCGUUGAUCCGGAUGAAGUGGCUGAGAGAAAUGUUGCUAGUCGGAAACAAAUGCCAAGGAAUCUGUACUAAGGAUCAAAUAUUUUUUGCUAUGACAGUUUGCGCCUAAUUAAGAGAUCAUUUUCUGACCUAUGUGCCAUCUUACGUGAUAGGUGCGGUAUGUGUGAUACUGUCGGUAGAAGAAAAUGUGGCUAUCUUUUUGCUUAUAGUGGGCCAUGGCACUAAGAUGAGGAUGAUUCGUAGCUCAUAUAGGUGGUCGCUCGAGCCAAUCUACCAUCAUUUCAAUGAGGUGUUGAGAGGUGUUCUAUCAUUAUGCCAUGAAUUUAUCAAGCUUCUUGAUCCAUCAGCUGUAGAACCUGAGGAUUCCAAGUGGAAGUGGUUUGAAGAUUGCCUUGGAGCAUUAGAUGGUACACAUAUUGACAUUUUGGUGCCUUUGGCUGACCAAGGGAGGUAUAGGAAUAGGAAGCAACAGAUUACCACCAAUAUUUUGAGGGUUUGUGAUCAUCACAUGAAAUUUAUUUACAUCUUAGCAGGAUGGGAAGGAUCGGCUUUAGAUUCACGUGUGCUACGUGAUGCAAUGUCUCGGGACGAUGCAUUUCUUAUUCCAAGUGGGAAAUACUAUCUUGUAGAUGCUGGAUACACCAAUGGACCGGGCUUUCUUGCUCCAUAUCGAUCCACUCGCUACCACUUGAAUGAGUGGGCUGCUCAAGGGCAUAACCCAUCCACUCCCAAAGAACUAUUCAAUUCGCGCCAUUCAACUGCUAGAAAUGUGAUAGAGAGAACAUUUGGGCUAUUAAAGAUGAGGUGGGCUAUACUAAGAAGCAACUCAUAUUUUAACUUACAAAAUCGGGUAUUCCGUAGUUAGUAACCUAGCUUGAAAUUCACCUCUGAAUGACCCUAGCAUGUAACUCAUUUCUACUAAUUUUUUGCAGAUUAGGAUCAUUAAUGCUUGUUGCAUAUUGCACAACUUUGUAAUUGAUAGACAAAGAGAUAUAGAUGACUUACUUAUAUACACCAAGUUGAUCAAGUAAUAUAUGUUGAACCUCAUGAAGUUCAAAGUGAAGUGGGCAUGAUUAGCAAUGUUCAAUCAUCAAAUGAAUGGAGCAAUUUUAGGGAUACCAAAGCUAACCAAAUGUUUGCUGAUUACCAAGCGAGACGUGGUCAAUGUAUGAUAAAUUCUAUCAUCAAUGCAUGCUCAAAUUUAUGAUAUUUGGUGUUGCUCCUUAAUAUUUUACUGAUAACCUUUGUGAACUUUUUUCUUGUAGAAUAUGGAGAAGGGCAAGAAGUCAGUCUCGAGCAGGGGUUACAUUUGUUGGAAUGACGACAUGAAUAAGGCUCUUCUUGACACAUUUGUGGAGUACUAUAACAAGGGUGACACAUGCCAAAAUGGGUGGAAGUCUCAUGUCUAUACAACUUCUAUCAAGAAUAUCCGAGAAAAGUGUAAUGUGGAUAUCACAAAAGACAACAUCAUGGCAAGGAACAAGACCUUUGACAAACACUACACUAUCAUCAAUGGUAUGUUGGAAUCAAGUGGAUUUGGUUGGGAUUGGAACAAAAAUAAAAUAUCUGUUGAUAGUGAUUCUGUAUGGGAAGAAUAUGUGACGGUAAGUUUCAAAAACCACUGAUUUACUUGCUUAACUUGCUUCUCUUUACAAGCAGUUUUCAUUUUGUUAGACACAAUCACAUAUGAGGUUAUCCUUAUUUUACACAUGGUAUGGUAUGAAUCUACUAGGUGGGCUUGGCAUAUAAUUGAAAGAUUUUUUGUACUCUAUCUAAAGUGGCAAUGAUUGUUUCAUCAAAACUUAUUGUUCCUGAAAACUUAUUGGCAUAUAAUUGAAAGUUUCUAUCUAUUGUUGAAAACAGUGUGUAGUGAAUUAUGUUCGUUACCUGUGUUCCUAAACAAUUAUGUAUGCAUCCUUGUCCCUGUAUGUUUUGUUACUUUUUUUAUUGAUAGUGUGGCAUCUUUAGGUUGUUCUUGAAAUGAAAGUAUACUUUCACUGCACAAGAAUUUAUUGGCCAGAAUAGUGGCUUGUAUUGGUCAGAUCCUAGUCAGCAAGUGCACGUCUCCUACAAGGCUGAGAAUCUUGCGUGAGGAAACUAGAGAGACCACUAGCAUGAACAAUGCCUCUCCAUACUCUGCAAUUUUUGAACUUUAGAUGCACCUGUCUCUUUGCUAGAAUUGCAAAUUAAGUAUGAAACAUGAAUCGACAUCAUUUAGUAUUGUUGUGCAGCACCAUACAAUGGUUUUGUGGUUUUGUGGAUUCUAGAAAAGGAUUCUCACAAAUGAUAGUUGCCAGUUAUACCUUUUGUUGCCAGUUCUACAAAAGGAGCCAUGGAUGUGUUUCAAUUUGUAGAUAUUCAUUGUGCAAAAUGCGACUAGAGCUUCUAGUACAUGUAUUUCUAAUAGUAGAAGCCAUGCAGAAGUUCCUGUAUUUGAACUACAGUAUGUAAACUGAUCUAUAUGUGUCUAAACUGGUCUGUAUGUGAACUACAAUGAUUGUACUUCUAUUUGGGUUCAGUACAUACUUGCUCUACACUUGUUUUCUAACCAAGUACAUUUAUUUUCUGUAGAAAAAUAAAGAAGUUACUGGGUACAGGCACAAGACUGUCUUGUACUGGGACUCAAUUAGCUUGGUGUUUGGCAAAGGCCAUGCUACUGGUGAAGCGGCAAAGACUGUGGCUGAGAGCUCAAAAAAUAUGAGUAAGGAAUAUCUUAGUAACAAAGAACCCACAUCAUCGGCAACUUCAGGAAGUUUAAAGAGGCAACGAUCAGGUGACUCUUUUACCUCUAUGAUAGCUGAAAAAAUGGACAAGUUUGCUGAAGCACUCAAGGAGGAAGCCCUAAAGGCCUAACAUCAAAAGAAAUUCUAGACACACUGAAUGAGGUACAAUGAUUGGAUGAAGACACUUUGUUGGACCUAUUUGAUAUCCUGACCGGUGAUGCACGCAAGUAUGAGUCUCUGUUGGCGCUUCCGGAGAAGAUGAGGAAGAGGUGGCUCCUAAAACAGCUCAAGAAGUGAAAAAAUUAGUUCAUAUAUAAAUUAUACUAUCAAGUGAUGGAUAAUGUCUAUUGAACUUCCAUUGCCUUGUAAUAAUAUGUGGCUUCAACUAUAUGAAAGUUUAGAUACUAUGUCUGUAUUGCUUGCAUUGUCAAGAUAAUAUGUUUAUCAUGAUCUCAUACUAUGUCUGUCAUGAAAGUUUAGAUAAUAUGUGGCUUCAACUUGUCAUGAUUGUAAUCUCCUUUGACAUGUUGCAAGUAAUCAGAUAUGUCUGCCAGGAUUGCAUUGUCAAGUAUGAAUGUAUAUCAGCAUUGUAGGGAGAGAAGCUUAUCUGCUUUUUGGAGAUAAACAUUCAAAUUACUGGUGUAUGACGGGAUGAAAUACUCUAGUGUUCACCUGGUUGGAAGGAUGAGAGGGAGAUGAGAGAGAGAGUUUGGAAGAGAGAGAGGUGAGAGUUCGGAUGAGAGAGAAAGCAGCUUAGAAGGAUGAGAGAGAGAAAGCGGUAUUCAGCUGGAUGGUGGAAAUUUUAUAUAUUACUAAUAAUGCAUCCAAACAAUAUUUGGAAUUUAAUUCUAAGAAAAACUUCCUUUGUACAACCAAAUAAGAAAAUUCAAUUGAAUCAAAUUCUACGGAAUCCAUUUCCUAUGGAAUCUAAUUGCUAGAAUAUGAUUCAUGGAAUGAGUUUCAAUUCUAGGGAAACAAACGGGCCAUGGUCUUCAUUCCCAAGGAAAGCUUGAGGCUCUGCAAUAUUACACAACAAUGAAGUCAAGAGGGUUGAUCCCUGAACCAAGGACCAAGAUACUGGUGAAAGCUAUACAUAUGAAGAAAGAUGGGGCUGUCAUAGAAGAUCAGUCUGCAAAUAUGACAGGGAAGAAUCUAAAACUGGAUCCACGAUCUAGACUAUUCCAUGUUCAUAAAUAGUUUGCUGUCAGAUCUUACUUCUAUGUGUCAAAAGAAUCUCUUCGACCAGUGUCCAGAUCACAAUGGUCACACCUUGGGCUACAAUAAAUCAUCAGCAAAGUGUAUUGGCAUUAUGUAUCCCAGAAAGUUUUGCUCAGACUUUCAAUGCCAGGGUAUGUUUUUUAUGUCUGAUAUGGAUCAAUUGCAGGUACUGUAUUACACGCUCGUAUUAUGAAGGUUAUGUGAAAUAUGACAGAUGUUUGUUUAUUCAUCUGUUAUGCAUGGCUGUGUCUACUGUCUAGUUGUUGGCUUGUUGCCAACAUAUGCAGCAGCAGGUAGCUUCAGCCGCUCAGAAGCCCAAAUGAAGGAUGGCCCAGGCAGAAUAGCUAUGUCCAGACCCAGAAAGCUUAGGACAUGUCUUGCCAGCCUGCAGUUUUGUACUCGUAGCACCAACCAUCUCCGGGUUCUGGCCGGUUAUAUACAUGGUCUGGAAUGGGCAUCCGCUGAUCGAUUGAAACCUUGAGUUGCUUCCGUGUGUCUUUUGCCAUCUAUAUAUUAUGGUUAGUCAACGGCAUGCAGUACACCCAUGCAUAUGAUUGCAGUAGGAUGACAUGGCGUGACCAGAACCCUUCUUUUGCCAGUUUUAGAUUCUUAUACACGGCCAACUGACGCAGCAGGGAGUUGCAUGCUAAGCAGUUCAGCGUAGGUGGUGAGUUCUCAACUCUGAUAUGGCUUAUGGAAGAACACUGUCACGGUGUCACCUAGCCGGUUGGAGGCCAACCUCUUACUAGGGACAGCAAUGGCCCUGUCCGGCCACUGUUUCGUGGCUGGUAUUAUUACCCCUAUGCAGUGAAUAUGACAUGUGGAUCUAUGUGUAUAUUAUGUCGUCAAAAGAACAUUAUAUGAACCGUUGAUCCACCUUUGAUUCUAUUAAUGUGUCAUGGUCAAUUGAUGUCAAACUCUAUUAUCUUCAAGUCUUACUGUAUUGAUAAAAUCACGAUGCUGCUACUGCCAUUUUGAUGUUUAUAAAAGGGUAUUGAGAACCUGGUGGGUAUCCAUUCGAUGCGCAGGGUUGGGGGUGGGGAAAAAUGAGUGUAAAGGACAGGGAUGCAGUAUUUAGAAAGAUGAGGCUGGCACAGAAAAUAGUCUCCAAGUAUGGCAGGGAAGAAUCUAAAACUGAAUCCUUGAUCAAGACUGUCCCAUAUUCAUAAAUAGUUCACUGACAGAUCUUGCUUCCAUAUUCUGAACAGCUGAUGCUGGGCACAUAGGAGGUUAACCGGUCAGCGGAUCAAAGAAAAUCCACAAUGGCCUCAUCUUGGGUUAGAGACAAUCAUCGGUAAAGAAUCAUAUUGCCGGAUAAGGAUAUCUGUGAUUGGUGGGUGCAGAUCCAUGCUCAUUCAAGAAACACAUGAUUCUUUACGGAUGAUCAUCUCUCAGCACACCCUGCUGAUAAGGUUAUCUGAGAUUGGUGGGUGCAGAUCCUAGAAACAAGCUAGGGCUGAAUGCGCCGCUGUACUUGGAUGUUGUGGUGACACCGUAAUGAUUGUGUGUUUAAUGGAGUUUUCCAUAGUGACUAGCGUGCAGGCCGUCCUCGUAUUUGAGAAAAAAAUCAAUGGGCGAAAUAUUUUCACCCAGGUAAUUGUUGCAUUGUAUGAAUAGGCUUAGAUACCUGGUUAAAGUAUGGUGCGUGUACUGUGACACAAGAAGAUUUAUCAUAUCUAUCUAUGAAUUAGUGUUAAAACUCCUACAUAAAUAUCUUCUCUUAUCUCACUUUAUGUAUAUAUAUGACACAGAAGCACAUGUAUAUCGGCAUUGUAGAGAUAGAGAUGAGAGAGAAGCUUAUCUGCUUUUUGGAGAUAAAUAUUCAAAUUACUAGUGUAUGAGAGGGAUAGAAUUAUUCUAUCAUAUUGUUUAUUCAACAUCUAAAAAGAUUCCAUGUUUAGUCAUCUAUAUCGGCGUUGUAGAGAGAGAGACUAGUGUUCAUCUGGUUGGAAGGAUGAGAGAGAGAGGAGAGAGUUUGGAUGAGAUAGAGAGAUAGUGUUCAGCUGGUUGGAAGGAUGAGAGAGAGAGAGAGGAGAGUUUGGAUGAUAGAGAGAUUAGUGUUCACUUGGUUGGAAGGAUGAGAGGGAGAUGAGAGAGUUCGGAUGAGGAGGUAGAGAGUUCGGAAGAGAGAGAGAGGUGAGAGUUCGGAUGAGAGGUGUGAGAGAGGUGAGAGUUCGGAUGAGAGAUAAAAUAGCUUAUAAGGAUGAGAGAGAGAGAAAGCGGUAUUCAGCUGGAUGGUGGAGACUUCAUAUAUUACUAAUAAUGCAUCCAAACAACAUUUGAAAUUUAAUUCUAAGAAAAACUUUCUCGGUAAAUCAAAACAAGAAAAUUCAAUUGAAUCAAAUUCUACGGAAUCCAUUUCCUACGAAAUCUAAUUGCUAGAAUAUGAUUCAUGGAAUGAGUUCCAAUUCUAGAGAUCCAAACGGGCCCUAAGAGAAUUGUAGUGAUCAACUCCCAAGUUGCAAUAUAUUCUAGGAAAUAGGUGGUUAUGAGGAUGAUACCUGCAGACAAUACUUUUUAUCCCUCAAUUCUUACAGAGAAUUGCACUAUCAACUGCAUUUUCAUUUGUGCCACGCUGCUCAGCUAUAAAAAACGGGGCAAAUCGACCAAAAUAAAUGAAUAAACCACAUGGUUUAGACUGGUGGCAUAUGUAUGUCUGAUGAGUUUAGAAUCCCAACAGACCUCUGUUUGCUUAUCCAACAGGAGGGAAAAAGUUUACUUACUAAAUCAGCUUUGCAUGUCAGGCUGCAAUUGUUAGAGAGUAGAAUUGGGUAAUUUGUGAACAUAAUUGAAUCAAAGUUUUGUCUCAGACUAGUAAUAGAAAAUGGUGAUGCUCCAUAGCUAGAACAACACGUUCCUACACUAGUUUAAAAAAUCCCCUGAAAUUGGGAACAAUGGUAAAGCCCAAACCAUACUUGGAACUUGGAAGGCCGCUGGCGGAUGUCAAAGUCAAAAACAGAAGCAGACAACGACGUCUCACCAGAUCACGAAUCAGAUGCGAUGCAUAUACAUGUUGCAGGCAUUAGCACGCAUCCCUUAGGAUUAAACAAUUCAGCAAGUAGCUCCCCUGCUGACCAAGAAAAGCAAGCUCUGUCUCGCAGCAAGCUCUUCAAUACGCUCCAGCCCAGCUCUACCAUGGCAUUUGCAAUGCGCGUCAUGAGCUUGCUUCCUGCCACCAUCGCCGUGAUGAUCGCAGCGGCCUCCUGGGGAGCGCACGGCGGUGCCAGCGACGAGGCCAGCGCGCUGCUUGCUUUCAAGGCUGAGCUCGCCGGCAGCGGCUCCGGCAUGCUUGCAUCCUGGAAUGGCACCGCUGGCGUCUGCAGCUGGGAGGGCGUGGCGUGCACCAGCGGCCAGGUGGUGGCACUGAGCCUGCCCUCUUAUGGGUUCGCCGGAGCCCUCUCCCCGGCCAUUGGGAACCUCACUUUCCUGCGGACCCUGAACCUGAGUUCCAACUGGUUCCAGGGGGAGGUCCCAGCAAGCAUCGGCCGCCUAGCGCGUCUGCAGACGCUUGAUCUGAGCUACAAUGCGUUCUCUGGUACGCUUCCUUCCAACCUCAGUUCCUGUGUCAGCUUACUGCUGUUAGAUCUCAGCAGUAACCGGUUCCAUGGGCGUAUCCCUGUUGAGCUUGGAGACAAGCUAACAAGUCUUCAGAAGUUCUCACUGGGCAACAACAGCUUGACGGGUGCCAUGCCAGGAUUACUAGGUAACCUGUCAUCCCUGAACUACCUUGAUCUGAGAAAAAACCACCUCGAGGGUCCGAUCCCACAUGAACUCGGCAGCAUGGGCGGCCUGCAGGUCCUUUUACUCCAUGACAACAGACUCUCCGGUGUGCUUCCACACUCCCUGUACAAUCUGUCCUCACUGAAAAAGUUGGGGGUAGGAGACAACAUGCUGUCUGGAACCAUCCCUGCUGAUAUCGGCGAUAGGUUCCCCGGUAUGGAAGCUCUUGACUUUUCUAGCAACCGAUUCAGUGGAGCUAUCCCACCUUCGCUCGGCAACCUCUCUGCUCUCACAAAACUAAUCCUUCAAGAAAAUGGUUUUAUUGGAUAUGUGCCUUCUGCUUUGGGAAAGUUGCAAAGUCUUACUGCCCUUUUCUUGGGUGUUAACAGGCUAGGAGCAAACGACAGUCAAGGGUGGGAAUUCAUCACUUCACUGGCAAACUGCUCCCAGCUUCAGGUUCUUGUUCUCGGCAACAACUCUUUCAGCGGGCAACUGCCUAAUUCAGUCACAAACCUGUCAUCAACUCUGCAAGGUCUUUAUUUGGGAGACAAUAUGAUUUCUGGGAAUAUUCCAAUAAACAUCGGAAAUUUGGUUGGUCUUACAGUAUUUGUGAUGGGAAAUACUUCUGUAUCUGGACAGAUUCCAGAGAGCAUUGGUCAGCUAAGAAACUUGGGUGUGUUAGGCCUUUACAACACUAGCUUGUCAGGCCUCAUACCUUCGUCACUAGGAAAUCUUACACAGUUGAAUAGGCUUUAUGCAUACUAUGGAAACUUAGAGGGGCCAAUUCCAUCAAACUUGGGGAACUUAAAGAAUGUGUUUGUCUUUGAUCUCUCAACAAAUCGACUCAAUGGUUCAAUUCCUAUAGAGGUUUUAAAACUUCCUCAACUUUCAUGGUACUUAGACUUAUCAUAUAAUUCAUUAUCCGGGCCACUUCCAAUUGAGGUUGGUACCAUGGUGAAUCUUAACGAACUGAUUCUGUCUGGAAACAAGUUGUCAGGCACCAUACCAGCUAGUGUUGGGAACUGUAUAUCGUUGGUACGGCUGCUGCUCGAUAACAACUUAUUAGAAGGAAGCAUACCUCAAUCUCUGAAGAACAUAAAAGGUCUUGCAUUACUGAACCUAACAAUGAAUAAGCUAUCUGGUAGUAUUCCUGAUGCCCUUGCUAGCAUUGGCCACCUGCAACAACUGUAUCUUGCACACAACAACUUGUCAGGUUCCAUCCCCAAAGUUCUACAGAAUUUGACAUUGUUGGCAAAACUGGAUUUGUCCUUCAAUGAUCUGCAAGGCGAAGUGCCAAAAGGGGGUCCUUUUGCAAAUGCAACU